GUGCCUUGUAACAUAAAAUGUGUUAAACCCAAUACAUAACACAGACGCUUCAGGUUACAGACUCCACUAACCCAGAAAUAGUACCUCGGGUUAAGAACUUUGCUUCAGGAUGAGAACAGAAAUCGGGCAGCAGCAGCACAGUGGCAGUGGGAGGUCCCAUUAGCCAAAGUGGUACCGCAGGUUAAGAACAAUUUCAGGUUAAGAAUGGACCUCCAGAACGAAUUAAGUUCUUAACCCGAGGUACCACUGUAUACCCUGCCGUUUUCACUGAAAGGACUCAAGGAAGCUUACAGACAAAAAUGAGAACCACUGAAAACUCAGAAACAACCAACCAUUAAAGACAUUGAUAGAAUAACAAAUGUAUACAUAUCUAAAAGGUAAAGGUGAAGGACCCAUAGAUGAUUAAAUCCAGUCGAAUUUGACUAUGGGGUAUGGCACUCAGGCUGAGGUAGCUGGUGUUUGUCCACAGACAGCUUUCCGGGUCAUGUGGCCAGCAUGACUAAACCACUUCUGGCGCAACGAGACACCACGACGAGUGCCAGAGUGCAUGGAAAUGCCGUUUGCCUUCCCGCAGUGGCGGUAUGUAUUUAUCUACUUGCACAGGUGUGCUUUUGAACUGCUAAGUUAGCAUAUAGUAUACAUAUCUAAAAUCUAUUAAAAACAUACAAAGAAUUACAAUAAGAAUAGCCACAGUACAAGAUGUUCUUCGUGGCAGUCAGCUGGUGUGUGCUUGCGGGUGUCAAGGGUACGUUUCGAAUGUGAUCAAAAUGGGCUCCAGUGGAGGGAGCCAUGAGUGCUAAUAGGCACCUGGUGUGAAGUGAGAGGAGCGCAUAAAGAGCAAGAGCUGUGCUGCCUCUGCCGCCCACAGCAACUCCUGGAUGGCCUUUUGUUUUUAUCAACUGAGCUGGAGGAAGCAAGCGGAAAGAUUGAUCAGGGGAGACCAGAAUGCUGAGAGACCAUGGAAACUGAAGUCUGGACUGGAGGAGGUAUUGAUUAUUUAUUUUCAUUUGGAGUGGAGUGGAGUGGGGAUGAGGUGAAUCAUUUAAGGGAGAAAACAGGAGAGGUGUGGGCUGCCUCUGAGGCAGAAGAAAAUAAAACUUUGGGUUGGGAAGUUCUGGCAUAAGUUUUUGUGAGGAGGGUAUAGUUAGUCAGGUCAGAAGGAAAUUAAAUGCAUAAGGUACUGACUGCCAAUUGCAUCAUUAGCACCAGCUGUUCACAAGCACCGUUCAUAGCAAGCAUAGGCUCUAUAAGUGGCUCAGAAGGAAUGAUCCCCUCACUUCAGCUGGACCUGGGUAGAUCCAUUUUUCUAUGGAUCUUAAUUUCCAGGCUGUGACAUAUUUGCUCAUUUGUAUUUGAUUUUGUGUUUCUUAUUGGAAUGACAUGCUAUCAGAGACUGUGAUUAAUACUUAAUAUAAUCAUGCUUAAUGGCAUCACUGGGGCCUGACUCUCGUUCUCAGGUUUGGGCCAUGAAAUCUCAGGGUCUGGGAUGCUCCUGACCUGGCAACCUGAAAUGCACCCAUCGUCCCAAUGUGAAUGAUAUAAUACGUUAUGCACACAGCGAACCUAUACCUCAAGCACGCUUACUAGUUAGAAAGGUUGUAGUCCUAUGUCUUCUCAGAAAUAAGUUGCAUUUAAUUCAGUGGGGCUUACUAUGUGGUAAGUGAGGUGAGGAUUGCAACCUAAGACCCGUUAAACUCAAUGAGAUUUCUCGGCAAAAAUGCUUAGAAUAUGCAAUGAAUUCAGAAGUGUUUUGAAGGGGGGGUGACUCCCAAGUAAAUGUGCACAGGAUUGCAGCCUAACACUGGAAGCCCCAUUGUACAGAAUGUAACUUACUUCUGUGUGGAUGGCUAUAUGAUUCUCCUGCAACUCUAUUAAGGUGCUCUAUUAGGCUUCAGUCCUAAACCACUUCCUCUGUAGUAAGCUCUCACUGAACUCAAUGGGGUUUACUUCUGAAUAAACAUUUUUUUAGGAUUGCAUUUAUUAUUUGUACCCUGCGCAUCUGGCUGGGUCUCCGCAGCCACUUUGGGUGGGUUCCAACAAAGAUUAAAAAUACAUUAAAAUGUCACACAUUAAAAACUUCCCUGAACAGGGCUGCCUUCAGAUGUCUUCUAAAUGUCAGGUAGUUGUUUAUCUCUUUGACAUCUGAUGGAAGGGCGUUCCACAGGGCGGACACCACUAAAUAAUUGUGUGCAUGUGUUUUAAUAGAGCAAUUAAUGUACAGGUAAGUAUAUUAGAGGAAGUAAGGAAAAUGUUAGGCAGAGAACGAGAGAGGGUGGGUUUGGAAUGUUGGUUGUGAAUGGUGUUUGGAUUGGAGUUUAAAAAGCAAGUCUGACUACUGAUGGCAAGACAGUGGAGGCUCAGUUUAGUUGAGUUUGGAGUCAGUUGAGCUGAAGUUGAGUUUGGGAGUGGGUAGUUGAUGGGGAGCAAAGUUAUUUUAUCUAAAAUAGGGUUAGUAGUGUAUUAGCCAUUUUGUAUAAACAACAAGGUAAUAAGAUAAACUGAAAACAUACGCUUUACAUCAGUGUUUCCCAAAGUGGGCCAUACUGUCCCCAGGGGCGCUGGAACAAUUCACGGGGGCGGUAGUAUCCUCAGGUGCAAUCAGGAGGCGUUGAAUAAAAAUAAGGGGACUAUGGAAGCAUAAAGAAAGAAGAGAAGAGAAAUUAGAAAAAAAACAUGUUUCAUCUGUUGUGUAAUGACACUUACUGCCAGGUCGGGCAUCUGUUGUGGAAUGGUGACAACACCUCCCAUGGAUCUAGUGGUCAUGCUGGGGUGUGUGUGUGUGUUUCCCAGCCUAGGGUGAACUCUUUUUGGCUUCAUUCAAGCCCAGGAAUUGGAUUGCAGUUUGCCUGCCUAUUUGGCCAAUGGGUGGUGGGCUGCGGUGCCAGCCCUGCCCCUGGGGCGGAUCAGACUGAACCAGCAGACUUUGCUCCUGUCCACCCCAUGGAUUCUUCUAGCUUCAGGGUGUCUUAUUUACAACAACAUCUUUCUUUACUAUGUGUAGGACAUAGGUAGAAAUAUAGUUACCUAAAGGAAGCGCAAAUUUGUUGCCGCAUCUUUUUAUUAGUUUGCUUAAAGAAGGUAGAUUUCCAAGAGGGUGCUGAAGUUUGUUUUCUAAAAAGGGGGCGGUAGGCCAAAUAAGUUUGUGAACCUCUACUUUACACCAAGUAAUUAUAAAACCCUUUCAAUUAUUGAUGUUUAACAAAUGACUGUGUUAUACCACAUGUCUCAUAUUUGGCUAUGCUGUGAGUGGAAUAUUAAGAUAAAUAGAAUCUGUGGUGGCAGCAGGAAUAAAGGGAGGCUAUAGAAAUAUCCGUUGAAACCCUGAUCAGAACUGUACAUUUUGUUAAGAGUGGGAAGACUAUACAGGGGAGCUGGGUGCAGUGCCAGAGCACCACAUACGCUGGCAGAGGCUUCCAUAGACCCUAGCAGGUUUUACAUAUGUAUAGCUGGGAGGGGGGGGUGUGUUAACAGUGAGGCCAAAAGGUCAUGAGAUGCAAGAGGUACAGACUGUGACAUUUCUCUGCAAAUGUUUGUGACAUUUUAACAGGCAUGCCUGCCAGCAGGGAUUGUCUUCUAUUUUGGUUUUGUGCUGCGUGCCAAGUGCCUUUAGAAAUAAUAAUUCAUUUGUAAUUAGGAUUAGAGUGCAAUAUUAUACAGUAAUUAUAUUUCAUAAGAAUGUGACCUUUUUGCAAAGCCCCUUGCCAGAAGACAGCAAGUAAGUGGCAUAGAUAAGUGUAUGUGUCAAGUGGGUUGCUUUGUUCCUGAAAGAAUUGCAACCAGUCCACAUGUGGUUCAAGUAGCAUUUCAUUCAACAGGGCAUGCUUGGUCUAGAUGCAUAGCAGAAUACACACACCCAUGAAGAGGCUCUUCAGGCAAAAUGGCUCUAGCCCAGGUCCCAUCUGCAUUAUGCAUUUAAAGUAGAGUUACACCACUAAACAGCCAUGACUCCCCCUGCCCCAGGAGUUUAAAGGUAUUGAGAGGAGUUAGGAGACUAGAUAGACCAAUGAUCUGACUCAGUAUAAAGCAGCAAGUGAAGCAUUUCCUGGCAUGGAGCUCAAGCAUGCCCUCCAACAUUUGGGGAAGUGCCUUAGCUCAGUGAUAGAGCAUCUGGUUUGCAGGUAUAAGGUCCCAUCAUCUCCAGACAAUGCUAGGAUGGACGGUUCAGAAAUCCCGGAGAGCUGCUGUCAGUCCAUGUGGACAGGACUGAGCUAGAUGGGCCAGUGGUCUAAUUCAGUAGUGUUAUAGAUUUGGGAGGGGGACACCCCCCCAAAGCAACCCAAGAAAUUAAUCAGUGGUGGAUUUUUGAUGAUUUGUAACGUGAAGGGAGAAAUACAAACUUCAGAGGAAUUCUUGGGCUAGUCUAUGCAAAACGACCUGGCCAGGCUGGGGCCAUUAAGAAACAAAAGAGGACCAUUGGCAAUGCAAGAGCACUGUCCUUCCCCUCCUGCCCUGAGCUGCGAACAGAAACAGGGGUUUGGAAGGUUGUGUUUGAGGUGACAAGAAAAGGGAGACUGGUAGCAAGGGGUUAUGAGAAAGAAGAAGAGACUGGGAUCCAUUUUGGCGCAGGCUGGCUGAAGGCAGGGUUCACUGCUGCAGGGACAAGUCCCUCUUGAAAUGACCAUGCUGUAAGAUCUGGACUCCCUCUAUGCAGACUUCAGGUGUUAAGAGGUGAACAAACCAUGUUUCUUAAAGCCACUACAGUCUCCUCUAUGUCUUAAUUCUCCAAAGGACCACAGACUCUGGGGGAGUGCUUGGAGCGCCAUAGGCUCUUGCCACCACUCAGCAGAGAGAGAGGGAGGGACCCAACUUUUGUAAAAGUAUAAUGUAGCUUCCUAUAUUCACAUAUAAGCUUCUAACAUGAGUUUGACAAACUGUGGGAGGCAGUGGAAGACAGGAGUGCCUGGCGUGCUCUGGUCCAUGGGGUCACUAAGAGUCGGACACGACUAAACAACAAAUAUUCACGUACUCCUAAUCUUUACAAAAGAGGAUUUCAGCUUUAGGUCGUAAUGUAGAAAUGUACAGGCAACUCGUCUUAAGACUCUGCUAGUAACUUGCUUGUGAAUGUUAUUUACAAAGCUGGUGAUGAGCAACCACUUUUCCGAGUUGCUAAGAAGCACUCUUCUUUAGUAAAAAUUGAGAGGAGGAAGUUACUUAACAUCCUUUAAAAGCAGUUCCAUCAGGGCUGAGAUUCUUCAGCCUCUUCUCUGCUUGUCUUUAGGCAUAACAAAAUGUUCUGUUGCCAAAUGAAAGAGCCAUCAGUACAAGAAAUGCUAAGACAACAAUCAAUAGUGUUCUUAUUAAUCAUACAAGUGGAUGCAGUUCAAGUUGUGGAAGUAAUCUGCAUUACCCUCUUCAUUGUGAAUGAGCCUGCUUUGAUGGAAAGCUUUUAGGUUCCCAGUCAUUUUAGAACUCUCUUAAUUCCUUUAUGCAUCCCAGCCCAUAAACCUCUCUCGAGCUGUUGCUCUUGGCAUGUUUUUUUUUUUUUAAUUAAUGUAGUGAUACCCAUUACUGUGCAGGUGAAAUUAUAACAGUUACUCUUUCAAAGCCCAGAAGCUGGAAGGCAGAUUCUACUCACUGAACAUUGUCUGAUAAUGUACUAAAUAAAACAAUUGCUUAAAUGGCCCUGCUUCUGAGUGGGGUGGAGGGUGGAAACACACCAAUGCAAUUAACAGCACGGCUCUUUCGAACCUUGGAGGCAUAUUUGGAAACCUAAGAAACUGUAGUAAAUACAUAUUUCACAUAAUAAAACCUAAGAAUGCUCAACCCCCCCCCCCCAAAAAAACCCCCAGGCAAAAUACCUACACCCCCACAAAAGACAAAAACACUGACAGAAAAACUGGCAAUAUCUUCCCCAAAACAGGCAGCUUCCCAAGCAAACAACCCCCUCCCCCCGCAAAGCCAAUAUACUCAUUUAAAAGUAAUUGGGAGCAUGGCCUUGGAGGUGUGCCUAGGUCCUAGGAGGAUGCCUGAGGGUGCUCCAUUAAGCACCCCAGCUUUAGAGGAAAGGUUAAGCAGCUAGGUGGUUGGAUGCAAAAGAGGGCAGGGCUUCGGCACCUUGAAUAGUUAUGCAAAAGAGGGAGUUUUGGCAACACUUACUGAAAUUGCAUCUUCCACCAUGACAAGAUAACAGUUAUUGACCAUAAAAUCACAAUAUUAACAACACAACACAAUUUAAGCUCACAGGAUUAUAACUAUGUGAUGUUUAUAAACAAAUAUUUACUGGGUUUUUAAAAAUAAUAAUAAUACAAGAACCAUUAAACACUUAUCCAGCAGUACAUCUUAUGGUGUUUGUUCUAUCCAUUAACUUUAGACAUAAGCUCACACAUUCAGUGUUCAAAUCUAUUAGUUAAUGUAACCUCUCUGCUGAGAAGACUGAGCGGCUGGUAUAACAAGAUCUUGGUUUUGGUCAUUAACAUAGUUAAAGAAAGGGGUCCACGUUUCUUGGAAGGUGAAAUAUACUUGGAGUUGAGUGUGAAUUUCAUGCUCUUUAUUCUACUCAUAGUAGCAAUGAAUGAAUCUUUCCCCAAAAGUCUAGCUUUACAGUAUAUACGUUAUUUACACAAUGGGCCCUGUGUGAUUGGCUAAUUCCAGGAUGCUCCUUUUGGCCAAUCAGGUUGCUGAUUCACUUCAUCCAGGAGCCUGAUUGGCUGCUCCUGCAGGCCAAUCAAGUCACUGAUUCACUUCCACCUGGAGCUGGAUUGGGUGGCUCCUGCGGACCAAUCAGACUGCUGCAUUCUGGAUUCUAUUGUUCUAGGAUUCAGCUCAGUACAUAACGGAAGAUGUUUCUCUUCAUUAUCCCUUCAGUUGCCUUCCUGUGUCUGGUGAGAUGUUCAGACACUGCUGUAUCCCAUAUAUUAUUUUCCCAUAUCUGCAGGGGUAUCAAAAAGAAGCAACAGUGCAAAAGGCACUGAGGGCUGGUGUGGUCUAGGUAUUUAGAGUGUCAGACUCAGUCCUGGGACACCAGAGUUCCAAUUCCCAUUCAGCCAUGGAAUUCACUGGGUGGAGAUGGGCCAGUCACAGUCUCUCACCUUAACCUCAUUGUUGUGAGGAGAAAAUGCAGGGAGGGAUGAACUAUGUCAUCUUGAGCUCCUUGGACGAAAGGUGGGAUAUAUAUGCCAUAUGAAAUGAAAUCAAAACACAGCUUAAGCCAAAGCCAAUAAACCAGCAACAUAAUCAGUCAAAUUAUCCCCGUUUAAAAGCCAUUACGUUUAUUUAUUGUGGCACAGUGUAUAGAAAUUACUGCGUUAUCAGGGUGAUUCUUUUACUUAGCUGAAAUACAUGGCACGAAGGUAGUAACAACCUGAUCCACGUCCCCUCCUCUGCUCUAAAGCUAUUAAUCAUUGUGGCGACAGGUCAGUUAUUUACACUUGCCAAUUUUUAAUUUUUUUAAAAAAAAAAUAUAUCUUCAGAGCGAUCUGGAAUUACAAGGAAUUAAAUAUAUGCAAGAUAGAUUAGCAGUGUACAUUUAGUUUGCUAAUUGGGCCUGGGUUUUAAUUGCACUCUUCAUAAUGAUUUGAAGACUCCAUCUGAAAUAAUUUACUUUAGCAGCAAAUGUUUUACUGCCAACAGAGUAAAUAAUAUACUGAAAAUAAGGGUUGCAUGCUUUUCAAAGAUCAAUUCUGACCAGCAAGAAAAGCAUUGGGAUGAGACAUUUCUUGUACAUCAGUCUUAACAGAGAAACAAUCUAACUGGAAAUAGGAAAAUAAUUAGCAAUUAUUUUCAUAUUUUAGUAAGAUUGCUUCUCCAUACAGACUGUUGUGUAUGCGAUGGUUAUCCAAAUAGCAUAUUGUACUGUAUAUCAGAACUGAAAACAGAAGCCUGUGAGCUGUUUUCUGAAGCUGUUAUCUUCUGUAAUGGCAGUAGAAAAAAAAUAAAAAUGCUAAGAAUUGUUUCCCUUUUCAUAAAAUUUCCUUGAUAUUACUACUGUAAUAACCCUGCCUAGAAAGUGCUUUUUCAUCAGAGACAACACAGGAAAAAAGGCAGAGAGGUAUGUUCCUUCACUUCCACACUGCCCUGCAUUUAGGGAGAACAAAUCAAAGGCAUAUGUAUAGGAUGGGAGAGAGAUGCUUUUCGCAGUGGUAUGAUUACCUUGAAUAUAACCCAGCAGUGUUAUGCAGCUGCAAAUAAAGCUAAUGCAAUCUCAGGUGCCCUCCAGAUGUCCUUGUUAUCCAUGCAUUCAUGAUUAUUUGUACUCAUGAUGGUAUUGGGACAGUUACCUGCCAUCACACUUUCAAUACUGUUUGGACCUGCAAAGGUUUUGGGAUGGACACACUACUUUCUUUCCAAUCAGCGUAACUUGUUUCAGUCCUGUAACUUCCAGUAAAAAAAGUCUAGUUUUUAUACCACAGAAGAUCUAUCUAUCUGUCUAUCUAUCUAUUUACAGUGGACCCUCUGGAUACGAAUUUAAUUUGUUCUGGGAGUCCGUGUGCACCCCAUAAAAUCCGUAUCCAGAGGCGCCGCUUCUGCGCAUGAGCGAGUGGUGAAACCCGGAAAAAUACUUCCGGGUUUGCCACUUUUGCAAGCCGAAGUUUACGUUACUCGAGAGUAACAUAACCCAAGGGUCUUCUGUAUUUAUUUUGUCCUGCUUCUGCUGUGCCGUAGUGCAAAAAUAACCCUCCCAGUGGCAAUAAUACAAUAACAAUGGGGAAGCAUCACAGACCAACUUAUAAAGAGGAAUGAUGUGUGGAUGUCCCAGUAUAAACCCACCACUAAAGUACUAUUACUGCAUCAAUGAUAUGUAGCAGAAUAUACCAGCCAAAAAACUUCCACCAGACUGCAUUAACAGAAGCAUCAUGACCACAUUAUGAGAUGUAAUAAGCCCUUUUGAGGCAUUCCCCUGCAUGUGAUUACAGUGGUACGAAGAGGACACUUACCCUGUCCCUCUCUUGCAUCUGUUGGUUUAUGGUAAAAGGAAAAGAAUAAACAUGGUAAAAUAAAACAAGAAUUCUCUGGUUUACCUAGAUCCAGGUUUGGAGCAAGCACUAUUUGGUUAGAAAGCCCCAGCAGAGAUUUAAAAUCACAAAACGUAGUAAAGUGUGGAAAUGUAGGCUGUUAGACCUUUAAAAUAUGCCCUUCUGAGUUACUUCCAAAGUUUCCCGCUUCCCUAGUACAGAAAAAUACCACACGCUUGGUGAGUUAAAAAUGGUUUACUUAGAAACUCUCCAAAGGUCAGAUUUAUGUGUAUUUCCAUACAUCAGUCAGAAAACAAAGGCAGUAAAACUUAUAACGGUUGAGUAGAGCCUUCUCUCUCUCUCUCUCUCUCUCUCUCUCUCUCUCUCUGUGUGUGUGUGUGUGUGUUUGUGUGUGCAUGAGCAUAGCCAGUAUUUCUGUUGGGGGGGGGCAGAACCAGCGUGAUUGGUCAGCUAAGUAUUUCUAUUGUUUUACUCCCUCCCUCCCUGGCUACACCCAUCUGUGCAUUGUACAUACAUGUGUAGGUGGGGCUUGGGCAUGAAUCCUUGGAAUAUGAUUGGGCGCAAUUCUCUACUCACCUGGGAAGUGGAAUUCAUUGGGGCAUAUUUCUGGAUAAACAUGGAUUGUGCUGCUUGGGUGUUGCAAGCAUUUUCCUGUUUUCAUAUAUCUGUAUUUUCUCCUAAUAGGGAAAAACACCCUAAUUUUCAUAUAUUGUACUAUUGCCCAAAUAGUCCUAGUCAAGGCGUUCCAAGACUGUGGUAAAUGGACCACCAGUAGUCUGUGAGCUUUGUUCAUGCAGUCCACCUUAAAUAUCAAUAUCAAUUUUUAAUUAUACUUGUAUUGCUUCUUUUAAUCCAUCCUAUUUUAUUGUACAGUUGUACCUUGGUUCUCAAACGGAAUCAGUUUGAAAACCAAGGCACGGCUUCCGAUUGACUGCAGGAGCUUUUUGCACUCAAGCGGAAGCCGCGUCGGGCAUUCGGCUUCCAACAAAUGUUUGCAAACCAGAACACUCACUUCCGGGUUUGUGGCGUUUGGGAGCCAAAAUGUUCGAGUCGCAAGGCAUUCGACAACCAAGGUCUGACUGUAUUACGGUUUGAAUUCUGUUGAAUGUAAAUUGUAGUACAAUGAACAAAAGAAGCAAUUUAAAUACAUUUAAAACCAUACAGAAUAUAGCACAAGACACUGCAAUUGCUGCAACAGGUAUUUUGUGCUCUGAGAAGGCCAUGAGUAGUUUUCAAGUGCCGUGGGGUGGGGUGUUUGGCAACUGCUUGUCUUAUCCUGGUUGUAGUCUUGCCUCCAAGGUCCUCUAGAUGGAGCUGCUAAGAAGGAAAUGAAGGCCAGCUUGUUUGAAACGGCAGGAAUCUCCAUUGCUCCCUCAGUAUCUCAAGAGAGGUAGCAAGCCAUGUGUUGAUGUUUGCAGAGUUUUUAAAAGGAGUGAAAAUUAGAAAAUUCUAACGAAGCCACAGACUUUCUUCCUCCUCUUGCAAUAUAUUUUGCAGGCUGCCCAAAUCAGGUUUGUUUGUUUUGCAAGAAGGUUGCUCCAAUAAAUGUCAAUCAUCCCACCUGGCAAUUCAUCCCAGUUCCUAAGAAGACAUAGUUGGAGUCAAGCAGCAGUUUCCAAAACCCUAGGGAGAAGGUGGAUCAUGACUUAUAGAGGAAUGGGCUGCACAAGCCAGUGUAUUAUAAACACCAACCAUUGGUGUCAAGUCUUGAUGUGUUUAUUGGUUUCUAAAAGGGCAAAUAUGGCAGGAGACUUUUCACACAGCCACUGGGAGCAUCGGAGCUGCAAUGCAAGGGGUGCAUUUGGCAGCUUUAUUCGGAGAAAUAGCAGGUCUUAAAAUUAAUAAAGAUAAAACCAAACUCCUGGUAAAAAAUAUGAAGGUUGAGAGUAAAAAUAAAUUACAAAGUUUAUCAUGCUUAAAGAUCAAAAACAAUAUUAAAUAUUUGGGUAUGUGGUUAACAGCAAAGAAUAUAAACUUGUAUAAAGAUAAUUACAGUGGUACCUCUGGUUGCGGAUGGGAUCUGUUCCGGAGCUCCGGUCAGAUCCCAAGGUUUCUGCAACUAGAAGUGCCUGUUCUGUGCAUAUCUGUAGCGCGAUAGAUAGUGGCUGUGCAUGCACACGAUGCGUAGAACACUUCUGUGCUGCGUGUAGAGCACUUCUGUGCAUAUGCGAGCUGUGAAACCUGGAAAAAUACUUCUGGGUUUGCCACUUUGCAACCCGAAGUUUAUGUUACCCAAGGGUAACAUAAGCUGAGGUUCUACUGUACUUGAAAACUUGGGAGGAUAUUAAAAGGAAUUUGCAAAUAGGGAGUAGAAUGAAACUUUCAUUAUUGGGUAGAGUGUUGACCAUUAAAAUGAAUGUAACAGUGGUACCUCGGGUUACAUAUGCUUCAGGUUACAGACUCCGCUAACCCAGAAAUAUUACCUCGGGUUAAGAACUUUGCUUCAGACUUCCGGGGUGGCGCCAUCGGUAAUGGCGGACUCCCUCUGAUCCGGAGGGACUGGCUCCACGGAAAACGGGUCUGUUCCGCUACGGCGAAGCGGGGACCCUUCAAAAAAUCACAGGCGGAGGAAGCCUGUGACCAUGGGAUUGGCGGGCACCUUUUGCGCCCCCCCAAUCCGUAAAGGAACCCAACUAUGUGCUCCGGAGCGAAGAGGGGUUAGUGGCGCGGUGCUGAGAGUCAACUGCUUUUUCCGUGGAGCGAAGCCGCACAGCCGUUGCCGGAGAGCGCUACCUUUUUCCUGGGACAAUUUGGUUACAAAAACAACUACCCGUGAGCAGAUCAAAUUUGGACAAUUGGACUUUAAACAACGAUCUGUGAGUAGAAGGGAAAAUUGGAUUAGAAAUUCUUCUUAAUUUGGCACUGAAGCAGGAAGGUCUAAACAGGAAGUCAGCCUUCCAUUUCUUGUAGAUAGAUUAAAGCAAAGACAUGGCAAACUAGAGUCCAGAAAAUCGUUUGUAAAGGAUCAACUUUCAUCAUCUAAAACUACUGAACCCCCUUCGGAAGCAGGAGAAGAGGGGGGAUUUUUUCCGGAUGGUUUAAACUUGCAGGAGAGAGUGUAAAGAAAAGUAAUUUUCCACCGUCUUGAACCUGGGAGCGGGAUGUCAGGACAGACGUUUUUAGGAAGUUCAUUGACUAUAGACAAAUGUUUUUGACAGAUAGUUAAAAGAAGAGAAACAUAGUGAUUCCAUUGUUCUCUUUCGCAUUUUAAAGGAACAAAUACUGACAAAAUAUCUGAAAAAGGAAACUUUGUUGUUAGAUCUUCUGUUAAAAAAGAAAAAAGAAAGAAAAGAGAUUGAUACAAAUAGAAGUUCUUCCCCUAGAGGGAGCUUGUGAAACUGUUAUUAAACUUGAACUGGGGAGCUUCGCAGCUGCAAACAGAUUAAGAUCGUGGGAACAGACUUCUGACCUUGCAUAACAACGUAUUCAGAGGCUCUGGUGCGUGCUUUCUGUAAGACAAGUGCUUUAUUGGAACAGUUACAUGAGAAGAUGGAUUUGAUGACUGUUGCGAUUAGAAAUUUUGGACAGGUAGUGGGUAUCUAUAUAGAACCCACCCAGGAAUCAACUCAGGAGUGUGCUCUGACAGAUCAGAUGAGGGAGGAGAUCAUUGUUGGACCUCGGGUAGCAGAGAUGGAGGGAGCUGUGGCCCAGCAGGAACAUGAGUUGUUGGAUUUGACAAAUGAACUUGGAAAAAGCCAGAUUUGGAGAGAUAGAGUUUUGUUGGGUUUGGAGAUGGAGGGCUGGAUAGACCCCCCUAUGCAGGGAUGUCCUGAAUUUCCAAGUCUGGCAAUGGGCCAUGAGGAGUUUGGGGUUGUGGGGGUCCUCAACCUUGGAGGGACUUUGAAACAUGCUUUUAAAUACCACAUGGAGUUCAGUGUGGAUUAUGGAAAAGGGGCUGAUCUGUCGAGAAGGGACAAAAAUACUAUCAAGUUGGAGUUUCCACGAGCGAAAGGACCAGGAGACAAAGUAAAGUACAGGUAUAAAUAUGAAGAAGAUCUGCGGAAGGGACAUGGAAGAGACUUAAGGGCCUCGGACAUAAGAUUACCAGGUUAAUGAACUAAAUGGAUGAGACAGAAAGGACUGACAAAACCCGGGACCAGGAGGAAGAGAUGUUGGAGGAAGAUUGGAAGAAAGUUUUAAAAAAAAUUUCUAUUUAGGAUUGUUUUGUAAAAUUAAUGAGUAUUAGAAAAAUGUUGGAACGAAACUAUUUGGCUUUAGCAGAAAUGCUAAAAAGAACUAUGCAAGAAUAUGUUAUGGUUAUGAGAAAUUGGUAUAAAUAAGAUUUAAGUUUUAGGGUAUUUUAUAGUAAGAUAAGGUUAAAAUAGAUUAAGGUAAUUUAAUGACAGAAUAUUAUGAAAAAUGGGAAGGAUUUGCUGUUAUAAUUAAUAACUGGAAUACAAAAAAGGGAGGUUUGAGGAGGUCGAUGAAAUAAGGCAAUGACAGUUAAGGAUUUGGGAAUAUUGGAUCUGUUUUUAAUUGUUUGUGGUUUACUUUUGUUUUUUGGAUUUUGAUGUGUUUUGUCAUUGUUUUUAUUGAUUUGUAUGGUUUGACUGCUGUUUGCUUUUCCCUUGUUUUUUUUCUUCUUUGUUUCUUUGGUUUUUUUUGAAACUCUAAAAUGCUUAAUAAACAUCAUUUAAAAAAAAAGAAGAACUUUGCUUCAGGAUGAGAACAGAAAUUGUGCAGCAGUGGCGCAGCGGCAGCAGGCGGCCCCAUUAGCUAAAGUGGUGCUUCAGGUUAAGAACAGUUUCAGGUUAAGAAAAGACCUCCAGAACAAAUUAAAUUCUUAACCCGAGGUACCACUGUAUUGCCACGGAUGUUAUUUUUGUUUCAGUCAAUACCAGAGAUGUUAGCAACAUGGUUACAACAUCAUCAUCUGAAUAAAGUAUUUAAAAAGGAUAUAAAGCAGGGGUUUGGGGAACAAACAUCACAGCUAGAGACCUGUUAAACUGAAAUGUUAAAGUGCUGUCUAAACUGUAUAAGAAGUUUUUGGAAUGAGAGACAAAGGAUGAACAAGUGAAAUCUUCAGUCAUACCCUGGGCAAUAGAUAUUGGUUAUAAUAUAGAAAUGGAUGCAUGGGAACAUUUAUUGAACAUGGAUUUAAAAUUUACAGCAUGUUGUAGUUUAAGAGAAAACUAUAUGAAAAUGUUAUAUAGAUGAUACCUAACACCUAGUAGAUUGGCAAAAAUGUAUAAAUCCAAAUUGAAUAUGUGCUGGGAAAGACAGUACCUUUUUUCAUAUGUGGUGGUCUUGUAGUAAGGUUAAAUCUUUCUGAGAAAUUAUAUAUAAUGAACUUUAAAAGAUGUUUGAAAUAAUAUUUAUUUAAAAAACAGAAGCUUUUCUUUUGGGAAUUAUGGGAUCAAAACCACCGAAACAGUAUAGAAAUUUAUUUAUGUAUGCAGCCACAGCUGCAAGAAUGUUAUUUGCCCAAAAAAGGAAGGAAGAAGAGGUAUCAACAAGAGAAGAAUGGAUACAGAAGUUAAUGGACUAUGCAGAAAUAGCAAAACUUACCAGGAGAAUAAGAAAUCUAGAUAACAAUUUUUUGUAGAAAGGAAUGGAAAUGUUUUAUUGAGUAUUUACAAACAAACUGUAAACAGAUCAAGAAAUUGGCAGGAUUAAUGUAAAAACCUGCAGUUUCAAAAUAUAUAAAAGAAUAUGUUCAGAUAAUUUGAGUAUGCAGGAAGAUGAAAAGAAAUGUAAAGAACCACAGAAAGAGGGGUAAGGGAGUCGGAGUUUGAAAUGUUAAAAUUAUGAUUGAAUAAUUGUUGUAAUGUAUAUAUAAAUGAAAAGUGUUGUUGUUGUUGUUGUUGUUAUUAUUAUGAAGUACUUUUCUGUUGCAUGCUGAAGCUGUCUCUCUUUACUCCAGCCCUCUUUACUGGAACACCUGGGAGAUGUUUUAGUACCCACCCUAUUCUUGUUUGUUUUACAACUUUAUCAUUAUUACUUUAGAAUAUAUAUAUAUAUAUAUAUAUAUAUAUAUAUAUAUAUAUAUAUGUAUAUGUAUAUGUAUAUAUACAUUGCUUAAUUGCAAUUGUCUCUAAGUGGAGUACAAUUAGUUAAAAAAUGAGGGGUACAGUUAUAACUUCAGAAUUCAGUUAAGAUGCCUGCUGGAAUAGAAAAAAGUCUUCAUUAACAUCACAUUUUUAAAUUACUGUAAUCUGCUCUGGAGCCUUAUGGAGAAGGGGAGGUAAAAAUCACCGUUGUCAUCAUCAUCUGCUGGAGAACUAUACAUUUUUCAAAGCACUAUUAUGCCACUUUGACUGUCUUGGCUGUCCUCCCUCCAAAAUAAAAAAUCAAAAAUCCUGGGAUGUGUAUGUUGUUAAGGACUCAGAGUUAUUAGGAGACUCAAUUUCUCCUUCCAGAAUUUCAAUUUUCAGAGCAAUUUAACAAUCAGUCCCUCUUCCAGGAUUCUUUGGCAAAAGCCAUGACUAUUAAAGUUGUAGAAUAGUGCUUUAAACGUGUGGUGUGGAUGUUGAAAAAUUGGUUCUAGAACCUGUAGAGCAAUCCUAACCAUGCCUACUCAGACGUAAAUCACAUUGAAUUCAGGUAAAAGCAGGAGGGAAAUUCAGUUCAGUUCAGUUUGCAUUUAAAGGCAGACUUGCCUAACUCAAACUUUAUGAAAAUUAAAAUAAAUACACAAACUGAAACUGCGCUCCAUUGAUACUUACACUUCUAUGAAUUUUGCAGUGCAGUUCUCCAGCCGUGAAAUGUGUUCAAAAUGUGCACACAUUCAUGAAACAAACAUACAAAAUGCAUUAUAUUUGGAUAAAUGGCACUGUGAAAAUGGGCACACGAGGCAAAAUUGCACACAAAUGUGCAUACAGUCAUACCUCGGGUUGAAGUAGCUUCGGGAUAAGUAUUUUCUGGUUGCGCGCUGCAGCAACCAGGAGCGCGUUACUUCCGGGUUUUGCCACUCGCACAUGCGCAGAUGGUCAAAAUGACGUCAUGCACAGAAGCAGCGAAUUGCAGCACACGCAGACGCGGGUUGCGUUCGCUUCUGGAUGCGAACAGGGCUCUGGAAUGGAUCCCUUUCACAUCCAGAGGUACCAAUGUAUUAGGAGAACUUCACACUAAUGUGAAUUUAACAUACAGUAUAUAAAAUGGAAAACUGGCAUAAACUGAAAUUGGCAGAUUCUCCCUUCCCUGCUUCCAGGUAAGUGAGGUUAAGAUCACCUAAAUCAGCCUAAGUCCCACCUUGAAAGGCCACUGAAUUUUGCCUCUCUAUUUUCUCUCUGUUCUCUCCAGCUUUACUUUCCCCAUUCUAUUCACUAAUCUUUAACUUUGCACCAAGCCUGGCAUGCGCAGGAAAGUUUAUUACGCCCCAUCUGCACCAGUCUAGUUACAUGCCCAGUGAAUUAUUUCUGGAAAGAAUCAGUCCAGCACAAGUAAUUUCAAUAAAACAACCUUUAUACUUUAGGAAAUAUAGAUGUAAUAUUGCUGCAGUUUAAUAACAAAUACUAGAGCCUCUGUGAUAAUAUCUUUAAAGUGUGAUUUUAUGACAGGCCUUUUCAUUGCAAAUGGGAAAUACAUUGUUGCAUGCUACCCCAGUCUCUGAGUGGUGCGAAAUUCCAGAGGUUCCGGGUGCUUACCCAGGGUUCGGUUUCUUUGGAAUAAGGGACAACAGAGGUGUCUUUAGGAUAUAUAGUUUGUUUAUGCAUAGAUACAACCUGAGCCUAGGAUGGAAGGGCUCACAGCAUUAACACCCCAAGAGGGUCUUGCUUCUCCCAUGGCCUGUUGCAGAAUACCUGGGGGAACAAACCCACCAGUCUGGAUACAUUAUGUUUCUAAAUGGCAGCUUCUGAAAAUCACAGAAAGGGAGAUCAGGAAUGCCUUCAGGUUCUGCCUGUGGGCAUCUGGUUGGCCACUGUGAGAACAGGACACCGAAAUAGAUAAACCACUAGCUUGAUCUAGCAGGGCUGCUCUUAUGUUCUUAAUCUGAGCAUGAUCCACCCUGCCGCUUGAAUGCUUACAGCACAAAGCAGAUAUUGAGAGUUGUGUGGGAAGGAGCCACUCUAAAUUUGCCCUAGUUUUGGCUGUGGCUGGAGUUAAGUGGUUGUCUGAUCAUUUCUCAGAAACUAGCCGAGCAACCAAGCGUUGAAAAGCUCAGACAAGAUAUAGUUUUAAUAUAUUUUCUCUUUUUAAAAUUAUAGCUAAGUAACAUGCUGAAGCAACCUGGUGGAUUAAAUUGUAAUUCUGAGAAAGAAAGAGAAACCAGCAUCUAUCCCAUUUACAUUCAUUCUAAUGCCAGCUCAUAAAUUACUCCCCUUUCAGGUAGGGAACAUUCAGCCACAUCCGUAAAUUAAACAAAAUGUGGAAUUGAAUGUUCUUUGGAGAUGCAUUUAGUUCUCUAUAAAGUCCAGUUUGCAUUUAUUUGAUGUAACAGGUUGAGUGCAAUGGUUUUGUGGGGUAAUAAAAAUGAAGUAAUUCAUAGUAUUUGCUAGUAGGGGUGUCAAAACAAAAAUAACAGCCCCAGACUGAAAGACAGAAAUUAUGUUGAUUAAUUGGCUUUUUCUGGUAUGGUGGGUAUUAAUGGCACUGGAACAGGGUCGGGGGAAAUAAGAUGGUAUCCCAAGGGAUAGCACAAGUAGGGGGUCAAGUGAGCAUUAAAUGUCUCUGUUAGGAUAUCCAUAUGUCUUACUUUCCAGAAGAAAGUAUUGUUGUAUGCAUCCAAAUCUCCAAGCAGUGAGAUACUCCAUGUUUUCCACAGCUUAUCCAGUGUUCGGUUUCAUUUGAAUGGAGGUCUGUGGAAACUGUGAUGUCUUUAGAAUAUACCGUAUUUUACCGUGUAUAAGACAAUAUUUUAUCCUAUAAGGUAAUAGUGUGCGAUUUGCAUUAGUGGGCAGGUUGUAGAGCGAUUGGCUCAACUUUGGGCAAUUUCCUCCCCAAACUUUUUUGUUGUGGUCCAAAAAAAAGGGGUCAUCUUAUACAUGGGGCGUAUGUUAUACACGGAAAAAUAUGGUACUGUUUUAUUUACACACAUGUAUAACCUGAGCAUAUCAUGGAAGGAAGGGCCCACACUCCAAUAGACACUCCAAUAGAUCUUGAUUCCCCAUUAGGUUCCCACAGAGUUCCCCAGAUCAUUGCUUUGGGUCAAGCACAGAGCAGAAGAAUCCUCUUUUUCCUUUUCACUCCCAAGCUUCAGUCAAACUCACCCCCACACAAACUGUGGCUAUUAUUCUUCUACUUUACAAGGUGAUGCCACUUCCAACUUCCAUUUGUCUCUAUGGCAACAGGGCAGACUGUUUGGGCACGUAAAUGGUGGUUCUUCACUGGCCAGCUAAAAGAAUUAUUUUUACAAAAAAACUGGUCUGACUGGUUUAGUAUGUUUCCUCUUAUAGAUUCUAACCCCGCAGAUACAAGAACUUAGAUCUGGAAGGGACCCUUAGAAAUCAUCCAGUCUGACCCACCAAUCCUAUAACUCUGGGAAUUAGACUCUAGUUCCCAUUUGCAAAGUAUGCGGAAAAUAGCCCUGGUUCAUUUCACCCUUUAAUUAGUUCUCUUUUCCCCUCCUUAAAAAACUACGCAAGACACUCUCUUUUAAAGUUUAAAAGAACAUGCAACUUUUACUUACUGCACUUGCAGUUGCAGAUUAAUUAUACUGUGCAGGUGGAUGUUUCUUAAAACGCUAAUACGUCGUUCAUAGAUUAAACUGUUGCAGACAAACUAACUGAGGCAGACAGCAGCACAUCAGAACCUACCUGCUGCUCUAAAUGCUAAGACUGUUUAUGCCAACUGGCAUAACUGCCUCAGGUGAAUGACAGCACAGAAUUCUACAGCUUUUGCAAUUAACCCUUUACAUAUGCAUUUUGGAUGCUAACAUCCCACAUGCUAUAAUAGUAUGUUUCUAGGGUAUGCAGAAGGUAGAUCUUUUGAUUCCGCACAAAUAACACCACAACAUUCAUUAAACUCUCCCCUGAGCAUGCAUAGUGGCUAUCUCAAGUGUACGUACCAUUCUUAGGGUGAGCUCUCCUUUAAAAACUAGCAAUGGGAUUGUGCAUUCUAAGCUUUUGAUUGCUGUUGUUGCUAAAUUAAGCUGCUGAGAUGAAGAAAGUUUUGUGUGACGGGUCUGAACUCAGUUUUGGUACUGAAAACAAAAUCCUGUGCUGAGCAUUUGCUCAGAGGCACCCUGUACUUUAAUUAUUUGCCCACAUCUGCUCUCCUGCACCCUUUUUUUUAAAAAAAAAAAUUUCACCUGGCUCCGCUUGUGGUUUUCCAGUUAAAAAACCCCAGGUUGAUUCAACAACCUUGUUGUCUGCCCACUCCUGCUUCUCUCUCUGAAGGGCUGUCUAGUCAAGAUAAAGAGUAAUCUGAGGCACCGAGUUCCACACAACAUUGGGGAAUAACAUUGGCUGCUUGUGUGUGUGUGAUGUCACACGUGAUACCAUGCAUGUUGGGAGGAGGCCACGAGGCCCAGGGCGGACCUCUGCUGCUGUGGGUAGGCACGACAGGGCCCUCCACCACCACCAUGGACAGGGCCUGGCCACUCAAGACUGGGGAGGCUCAGUUCUAUCUCCGCAUGCUUGGGGGGUGGGGCUGAGCUGUCCUCAACCCCAUAGAGUUGGUGCCUAUGGUAAGGGAGAGCAGCAGCAGUUGUCCAUCAACUGUUACUCUCAGGGCAGAGGACUGAGAGUUGUAUUCUGUAGUGCUAAGUUAAAGUCGCUCAGCAGCAUGCUUGUGCCAGCGGUGAAAUGUAUUGUACCGGCUGCACAAGAGAAUGCAUAAGCAGAUUGCAAUCUCUGCGCAGUUUAUUGGGCAAUGAGCUUCCAUGGGCACAACUUGCAUUGGAUUUCUGUGUUGUGUUGUUGUUGUUGUUUAGUCAUUUAGUCGUGUCCGACUCUUUGUGACCCCAUGGACCAGAGCACGCCAGGCACUCCUAUCUUCCACUGCCUCCCGCAGUUUGGUCAGACUCAUGUUUGUGGCUUCGAGAACACUGUCCAACCAUCUCGUCCUCUGUCAUCCCCUUCUCCUGUGUUGUACAAUGUUCUAAUUCCCCUAGUGGAAGAGAAAGCUGGAUACAGCUCUGAGCAGGCAGACAGGUAAAUUGACCACAGUCUUUUUUUGCUAUGGUGAGAUGUAGUCUGUUCUUGUUAAAUUUCAGCCAUUAUUUCUAAGUUUGCAUAUAUAAAAUUAAUUAGCAUAUACUAUUUUAUGCAAGUUUGUGUCCUCUUCUUUUGUUGAUACAUAUGUGGCCACCUUGGUCUCUGAAUUGGACUGAUAGUAAAAUGUGAUGGACAGUAAGAAUGCUGUUUUGCAUAUUAAAGGAAACAUAAGAAAGCAAGUAUAUGGUACAUGAAAAUGCAGUUGAUGAAAAAAAUUUUUGGUCCAAACCUUGAGAAUUCUCUGGAACCUUUAAGGGUUGCACAGUCUGAUAGCUCCAUGUUUUCCUGCUAUCGCAGCACAUGGUGCCAAGAAAAAAAUGCAUUUAUCAAAAGCCACCCUUUUAUACAACUUGUUAAAGUGCAGCAGCCCAUUAAGGACCUGCACUUGGCAACAAAGUAAAUGUGAUUUGAGCUAGUUGGAAAUGCCAGCUGGGUUUCAGCCCUAGGGCAGAAUAGAUAAUAGGAAACAGGUCUUCAUAUAAAUAUAAACCUGUCGUGUCCUUUUGCAAAAAUGGCAAACCACUCUACCAGCAAUUCCGGCCAUGUUUGACCUAAAUGACACUUGCAAGCAAGUAGCUAACCUCCUGUUGUUGACUUGUCUUCAGAACAUAACUAAAAGCUUUGGCGGUGUCUCCCACCCACCUGUAAGCUUUCUAUAGCCCAGAUUUCGAGAAGAGCAGGUGGGAGGCAACAACUGCAAAGUAAACAUAAUUUGUGUAUAAUGACUGCGCACUUAAGCCAUGUUUUCCUGCAGCCUUGUUUUGAGCAAUGGUUUGCUGUUGCCUAUAAAACUGGGGAAGAUGAAGCCUCAUGGGCAGAAAGAUAAUGUACUGCUGCAUGCCACCCCAGUCUCUGAGUGGUGUGCGAUUGCAGGGGUUCCAGAUACUUACGCUGGGUUCGGUUUCCUUGGAGUGAAGGAUAGCGGACAUUGUGAUGUCUAUGUGAUAUGGUUCAUUUACAUAUAUACAACCUGAUCUUAAGAUAGAGGGGCUCACAGCAUUAACACCCCAGAAGGUAUUGCUUCUCCCAUAGUCAUAGCCUUAGAUUUAAGCAGAAAUCAUGCAUGGCUCUCACUCUCUGGCUUCUACCAGCUUCAGCCUGCUUCUAGCUCAGCUCUGUGCCACACACCUGCAGGAGACUGCAGGAGGAGGAGAAGGAGCCAGCCACUGGAGCUGCUCCACCUUCUGCUCUGUGCUUCGCCUCUGCUCUUUUUGGACAUGGGGGGCAGCCCCAACUCCCAAAAUAUAGAGGGGGGGCAAAGGAGCUGGAGCUCGUGCCCCUGAAGAUGGGUUAGGUCCAUAGCUCGGUUGUAGAGCAUCUGUGUUGCAUGCAAAAGGUCCCAAUUUCAAUCCCUGGCAUCUCUGGGUAAGGCUGUAAAAACUCCCUGUCCAACACCCAUGGGAGUGAUGCUUCCAGUCAGUAUAGAUAAUACUGAACUAGGUGGAACAAUGAUCUGACAGUUCCACUGAUAUAAGGCAGUUUCCUAUGUUCCUUUAGUGGGGAAGAUCCAUAGGUGAUAAAAACAUCCCCAUAGCGUUCAGAAAAGUUCACAUGAAGCCAACCAUUUAUUUGUCUGAUGCUGAGAAUGCUGGGGCAGCUUCUGCUGAAUGAAACUCUGUUAAGGGUUCAGAAUAGCUCUUUUGUUCCAUCUUUAGUUACUGGAACCUGGUUAUCCUAUGCCAUCAGCUGCUUAUUAUAGAUCUCAAAAAUUUUCCACAUGACCCCUGUUUAGGCAUCUACCUGGCUGACGUAACAGAGCUCGUUCUGGAACAAAGGUGAAUUUAUUUUGAACAGAGACAGGAACAAAGAGGCAGGAUCACUGCUGACACUCUGUUACGGAGUGUUUCUAGAGCUUGGUUGGUAUAUCUGAGCUUUUGACAGCUCCCCUAAUUUCUUCUGGCACAAAUUAAUUUUUUGUUUGGCCAAAUGUCAAUGCGGCUCUGAGAUCUGAGUUGCAUUGACAUUUGUCAAACACAGAUUAAAUCAGUGAUGUGAUUUUUUGGCAGAUAGCUCAGUGGGUAGAGCAUGAGACUCUUCAUCUCAGGGCUGUGGGUUUGAGUCUCAUGUUGGGCAAAAUAUCCCUGCAUUGCAGGGGGUUGGACUAGAUGACCCUCACUGACCUCUUCCAACCCUACAGUUCUAUUAUUCUAUGAACCUUCUCUUUGCUGCUAUUGAUUUUCCUGGUUACAUUUGUGACAGAUGUUAGACAGAGGUCUCAUCAAACAAUCUAGAAUUUCAUGCAGGUGGUUUACAAGAGGAUGGAGUUCAUCUUGGCACUCCACUUGAAGGAGCGCAUCUAAAGGGGAGAGAAAGAGAGCCAAGUUAAGAUAGCCCCUUCCAAGCAAGGAUAGGGAACCUGUGACCCUCCAAGUGUUGUUGGGCUCCAGCUCCCAUCAGCCUCAGCUGUCAUGCUCAGGGAUGAUGGGAGUUGCUGUCCAACAAUACCUUGAGGUCUACAGGUCCACUCCACCCAAUGAAGACUAAGGGCACUAAAAGCAUCACACAUCAAAGGGUUGGGUAAUGUGAUAUAGUUAGAUUACAACUUCCUUUGUCUUUGGCCAUUGGCCAUGCUGACUGGAGCUGAUGGGAGUUUGAGUUUGAGUCCAACCACAUCUGGUUGGCAACAGGUUCACACCCCUGUUCACAAGGCACUGUGCGAGCGCCUGCAAAAGCCACAAGUUAGGAGUGGAGGCAGAGCAGAAUAUUUAAAGGUGAACGGGCCUGUUUUUCUAGAGAAAAGUUUUUUAACGUACAAUCUGUAACAUUCUUUUCAAAGCAGCAAGGAAGCUGGGGUAUUGCUUACAGCUACUUGCAAUGUGCAAACAGCCAGUCAUCAGAUUUUAUAUAUUGAAAAGAUUAACCUAACAAAAUUUUAAUAAAGAAAAAAAAAGUCAAGGACAUUUCAUUUUUAAAAGUAUUCUGAAUCUGAAUAAACCUCAGUGUUCUUAACGUGUGUUCCUCAGGCUGCACUCCUGAACACACUUUGCUAGGAAAAAGUCCCAUUCAACACAAUGGAUGUUACUUUUGAGUAGGCAUGUAUGAUAUUGCAGUGUAUAUCUAUAAUCUUAAACACAUUUAUUUAGGAAUAAUUCCCAUUGAGCUCAGUGGAACUUUCUUCCAAGUAAACAAACAUAGCAUCAGGCUGAAAAUCUUGUUUGAAAAAUAAGGAACAGCCAAAGUUUAAGAAGUAGCAAUGUUAUUACCAUCUUCAAGCAAAAGCUUUUCUGUCUGAGGAAUGUUAAUGCAACUGAAUUUGAAGAAGUAGUAGUACCAUUGUUUCCAAUUACAGAGAUAUUUGUGGGAGUACUUCCCUAAGCUGUGUUUGGUAGAAAGUGACCCUGAGCUCUAAAUGCAGACAGCUCUUUGUAUCUACUUCAUCUGUCCAAUAUAGUCUCAAAUGGGGUUGCAAAUGACAUCUCACCUGCAGCACUUGAAUCUUCAUCUGUUCGACAAACUAAUUUCCUACAAGGCUGAACUUCAAAGUGCCAAAGAGGGUAGCAGAUUAUCUCUGUACAAAAUAGGAUCGUUCAGCAGACAUUAAUAAUAAACCAUUAAAUCCUUCCAUUGCAGAUUAUAGGAAUAAGAGAUUUGAAACUAGCCACAACACUGAACAACAACUUGUUUUGCUGCAAAACAUGUCUUAAGAGGCAAACAAAUUUCAAAACCCACUUUAGAAAAUGACCCACUGUUCUAUAUUACAGAGAAGCUUUUGAAGUCAAUUAGACCCUGAUUAUUUGUACACUAGACAAAUAUUUAAAAAAACCAAAAUGAUUUUUAUUUUAUUUUUUGCUGUGGUCAUCCACUUGUUAGCUUCCAACUUAAAAAGGAGGGAUAUGAAAAUAAACAAGCACAUUUUCUAUCCCUGUGAAGAGAGCCCUUCCUUAAAGCAUUUUAAUCAAAUCAGGGUUUGUACAUAUUAGUGGCAAAAAUACAGGGGUUGUUACCACUCAUGCUGCUAUUUAAGUUGCAUUUUCACAUUGCUGUACACAUCAGAGAGAGGCAGGGAUGUCUUCAUCAAAUAUGCAUUACCUAAUUUGUUUCCCCACGUCUGCAACCCCUUGAACUAUUUUUCAACAAAGUUGUUGGCUGCACAUGUGCAAUGGUAUCUCAAAUAUUCACACCAUAGCUGUCAACUUUCAGAUUUGAAAAUAAGGGAUCAGCAGCCUCGAAAAUAAGGGAUCAGCAGCCUCACCUGUCCCGGGGACUGUCUACGGGACAUCUAACUAUCCGGGAUAGCAGCGGGAAGCAGCAGGAAACGGCGCUGGAAUAAGGGAAUUUCCCGCAAAAAAAAGAGAAGGUUGACAGCUAUGGUUCACACCUCAGCUUAACUGCAGUUUAUGUUGGAUGGAAGCUAGUUUGAGGAAUAAUGCACCAAGCAGCAGUAUUUCUCAAGAAACUACAGAAUACCUAUGGCUUGUGGCUAAUGUAAUUUGUACAAAGGCCAGGGUAAAGAGGUGUGUCUUAAGGUAGCGUUGGGGAAAACUCCUAUUUCAAGCCAUGGAGAAUCAUUGCCAGCCACUAUAGACAAUACAAAGCUAGAUCAAUCAGUGAGUUUGACUCAGGCCACAUUUAUACCAUACUUUUAAAGCACUAUGGUGCCACUUCAAACAUGGGACUCAGCUACUUUAGUAAAGAAAAAGUGUUUUAUACACAUUAUAACACUGUGACACCAGAUGGCACUGUGGAGUCCUGUCUUUUGCCAACAUGAUUUCCCAAUAUGAGGUUUACAACGUGUUUAACUGAAUCUCUAUUUUGAUGUGUCUAGAUCCAGCCAAGCACAGCUUUCCCCAAAGAAUUCUGGGUGCUGCAUUUUGAUAAGAGUGCUGAUCGUUCUUAGGAGACCCUGUUCCCCUCAGAGAACCACAAUCCCCCAAAUUUCCUGGGAAGAGGGCUUGCCUGUUAAACCACUUUGGGAGUUGUAGUUGGGAGGGAAAUAAGGGUCUCCUAACCACUGCUCCCAGAAUUCUUCGGCUGAAGUGGUAACAUAGAGCUUUAGAUAUAUGGUGAGACUGUGGCCACAGUAUAAGGCAAGGCAACUUUCUUUAUUUCUUUUCCCUAGCCAUCCAUUCAUUACCGACUGACACUAAACUUCUAUCCUAAUCAAUGAAACUAUUUCUGCUCAGCAGAGAACACUGUUGGCUUUUCAAGCAGAUUUCUUCUGCUUAUUGGCUCUGAUGGUGAGUCAAGGCGAUCCACACAUUUCCUUCACUUUAUAUGACUUCCUUGACUGACUUUCUCCUCGAGGAGCUGAGCAUGUUUGUCAACGGCAGUCAUGUUGCAGCGAUGUUGCAUCGUGCUGCUAGCCAGGACAAAAUCAGAAGGAAGACUCAAAGGUGGUAUAAAAAGAAUUAUUUUCCCCGCUGCUGGAAGUUAACAGUCCUGUCUAUUAUUUUCCAAUGGCAGAAGAAGAUUUGUUUAGUUCCUGAAACAGCCUUGGGCAAGGGAAUGGAACAUUUAUGCAAUAAUGAGCUAAAUGACUGAAGUCCCUCUGGAUUAAGCUGAAUGCACACCGUGAGCGGUCCAACAUCUUGCUUCCAACAGCAGUGAGCCAUGCGUUUUUUUGCCAAGCCUACAAGCAGGACAGGGCAAUAGCCCUGUGCCACAGUUUGUCCUUUAGGAUCUAUCAUUCGGAGGUAUCAUCUGACAUAGAGAUCCCUUAUUAUUACCCCUCCCUUUAACAGCAAGCUCAAGCAUUGAGUGCCAAUGCCCAGUGAUUCCCAAAAGGGUGUGGCAUGCUGCAUUACUGUGGCAGAAAAGGAUGGCAAGUGUGGUGAUAAGAUUCAAGGACAAUUAAAGAAACAUAUAAAACUUCCAAUGUAGUAUAGUAUAGCAUUAAAAAAAUGCUUUAUUUGCCGAAUAUAGAUAGGUAUAUUUUCACUGCUCGUUGAGUUUGUCUACAUACUGAGGGUACAUUUGUAAGAUGCUCGUUUGUAACUACAUUUUGGGAAUGAAUCUUGUUCUUAUGUAGCUGCAUUGUUUCAAACUUUCUGGAUGUCUCAUGAUCCUAUCAUAUAGUCAUUGUGUUCCAUUUUAUAAAUCAAGCACUGCUAGGAGUUGUUUGUGAUUUUCCCCUUCAAUGCAUAUCUUAUCAAUUAAAAAAUUGCUUUGGUGUGAGCAGAUUUUUAUUAUGAAAGUGUAGCCCAGAGAAAAAUAGUUUGAGAACCACAGGGUUUGACAGUCAAAAUGGGGACUCUGGGAAACAAAAGAGAGGUGUCUGCAAGGUCAGGGGAAACCCAAAUUUUAUGUAAGUGCCAAAAUCCUUCCAUAAGGUCACUCCCCACUCCCCCGGCAACAGUACAAAGGGGUCUGAGUAUGUUCAUGGGUCCCAGAAUACUCUGCCUGUUAGAAGGGAGAAUGGAAAUAAUGCAAGGAACAUAAUCCUGGAACAUGGCACGGGGGGGGGGGAGGGCUGCAACUCUGAAGAGGAGCACUUUAUGCUGCAACACUGGGUUGCAGGUUCCAUGUGUAAAUGCCAGUGGGCAUUCAUAGAUGAUUCUCCAUUAAUUUGACUACUUCCCAUUUUAAAGCUAAGUAUGACAAAGAAGCCCUACCGUAAGGACAGCAUAUUUUGGAAGACCAGUAAAUGAAGAUACAUGUGUAUGUUUCUUUCUAAUGAUAUAUACUGGUGUAUAUAUAAAUAUCAGAAUAUUUCAAUAUUCAAACUACCCUCAUUCUUAAAAGUAAUUAUGCAGGAUGCAAUCCUGCUGCUUAAACUCUAUCUGCAUAUAAGCAAAAUUUCAGCAGCCCAAGAGUCACAAAUCUGAGCAAUCAUUUCCAAAAUUGGUGAUGGUCCAUGCUGAUGUUUAAGGGUUGCAUCCAACUACUUUCUACUCAGAGUAAAUUCAUUGGAAUUAAUGGACCUGAGAUAGUCUAUUAAUUUCAGUGGGUCUAUUUUUUUGGAUAAUAUUUUUAUUGAUUUUUUACAUAACAAAUUUAAAUUCACAUCCAUCCAUCACCUCCUCAUUUAGGAUUCUCUGAAUCCCUUGACUUCCCUCUGCCCUUCCAUGGUUAUCAUUAUCAAUCCAAUUUUCUAUCUGCUUAUCUUAUUUUCUCUAAUUUUUAAAAGUAUAUUGUCCAUUUUCCUCUCUUUUUUUGUACAUUACAAGCAUUACUCAAAUCCUGCCAAAGUUUUUUAGUUGUUUACACUAUUCUCUUAAGUACAUUAUAAUUUUUUCCCAUUCCUUCUUUAAAAUUUCCUCUUCCUGGUUUCUGAUUUUCCCAGUCAUUUUCGCCAUUUCCGCAUAGUCCAUCAUCUUCAUCAGCUAUUCCUCUCUGGUUGGAACUUCAUCUUCUUUCCAUCUCUGGGCUAGUAAUAUUCUCGCUGCUGUCCCUGAAUACAUGAAUAAUCUUUUUUGCUCUCUCGGAAUCUCUGUACCUAAAAUGCCUUACAAAAAUGCAUCUGUUUUUUUCACAAAUGUUAUUUCAAACAUUUUUUUCAACUCAUUAUGAAUCAUUUCCCAGAAUGCUUUAGUCAUCUUGCACGUCCACCACAUAUGGUAGAAUGUGCCUUCUUUCUCCUUACAUUUCCAGCAAACAUUAGAAGCACUUCUAUACAUUUUCGCUAAUUUUACUGGUGUUAAAUACCACCUAUGCAUCAUUUUGAGCAUUGGAUAGAACCCUCAGGAUUAAUAAAUUCAACCACACACAAAAACACAUUUGGAAGAACAACACACACACACACACCACUCCACAAAAAAGGUAAAAAUGUGAAAUCUAAAGCAAGUACCCAGGAAAGCAGAGUUCGUGAGUCCCUGGAUGUUCUUUUCCCACUGCUAACUGCUUCCCCCUGAAAAUCGAAACAGCUUGUGACAUAUAGCGCAAAGUACUCAGAGUGAAGUCCCAGCUCCUAAUAUUGUAUUUUUUUUUUUUUUUGGAAGACAGACAGUUCUCUUACCACAUACACAAAUAUUGAUCUGUUCUUCUUGGCUGCCUACUGUGACAUUGCAGCCUUGCUGCUUUUUACACCAACAGAAGGUGUUUUGUGAUUUGUACGGUUGCCAUCCUUUUACAAUAAUAUUACUGAGGCAUAAGAUUUGGUUCCAGGAAUUUUCUGCAUCUGGCAUAUCCAAGCUAAAACAUUUCUUGAAGCAACCCAGGAGGAAGAAGAGAUGAGGACUGGUGUGGAUUUUUCUUGCAAAAGGGAGAAAGCUGUUAAAACAAACACCGCAAAUAUAUCCCAGACCUUAGAACAAUACAAUAUCUUCUCCCUGUAAUUGAAUCAAAAUAUUUGCUCUACAAAUGGGGGAAGACUUCGUAAAUCCGUGGCUUCAGACGAGAGUGGUCUUUUUGAAACUCAGAUAUAUAAUAGAUCAAAAGGCAUUAAAUUCCCAGUAUACCUAAAACGCCAUAUUCUCCAAGGUACGUAACAGCCUUUCCAAAUAAAAUCUUAAGUAAGCUUUAUGAAAAUAACCGUUGUAAAGGUGGGAAAUGUAUAGGUUUUAUGUAAUGUGCUGUUUCUCAGUUGUUGACCUCAGUACACUUGAACUUGUAGUGUGGAUCUUCUGUAGCUUUUAAAUAAAGUCACUCCCCUCUUAAGGAACUCUGGCCAUUGUUGCUCUGUGAGCACGAGAACAAAGGCAGUAGGGAUCAGAGUUAAUGUAUCUUAUUUCCUCAAGUACCUUAAGAGUCCCACUGUGUCUGGUAUGUUCAAAGCCAACUGGUUAUUCAAGAUUAUGGUUAUUUUCAUCCCCAGCCACACUUUUAGGUUUACUUAUAUUUCUGCCACUUAGCUCCUCACUGAAGUAGGCUGCCCCAGAACCUCUCUUCUUGGUUUCCUCCUCCCUUAAUAAUGCCUGCCAUCCCUUCUUAUUCAGAUGCAUUCCUGCAUUGCAGGGGGUUGGACUAGAUGGCCCUUGUGGUCCCUUCCAACUCAAUUAUUCUGUGAUUCAAUGAUUAUAAUUAAUCUGUCGGUAUCAUAGGCCCCUGGAAGCUGUCAUCAUGCCACAGCAGCCACACCCUGGGAACAGCUUCAACUGGCCGACUAAACCAGUUGACCAUAGGCAGUGGGUCUUGGUGAGUUAAGGACUUCUCCUGCAUGCAAAGACAGGCUCUGGCAGAUUGAGUAAACAAGACCAAUAUUUGGUCCAAUGGUCAAGAAGGCAAUUUCUGCACAGUGGUGAAGAUGGGGCUCAUCAACCUGGGAAGGUAGCCCAUCUAGGAGAAGGAAAACUCUUAUCCUAAACCUCUGCUGCCUUGCAGAAUAUCUUCAGAAGAAAAAGCUAAGGAGUGAACCCUAUACAAAUCUGGUGUGGAGUCCCUAAGGCAGUUGGAUGGUGCCUUGCACGCAUCCUUCCAGCAACAACUGCAGCUAAAUUGGUGCCAAACAUAUUGUUCUGCUUUUUUUUGGACCAUAUCAGUGAGGCCGAGAGGGGGGCCUUGUCGUUUGGGCAGCCCAGGACCACCAGACAAAUUGCCCAGUCCUGCAUCCUGGGAAGGUCACUUUGGUGCUACUAAUGCAGCAGUGUGACUUUAACCGCAGAGUAGCACCCCACUGUCUCUCAAGACAGAUGGAUGCCAACAGCAUCAUAGGCCCCAUCUGCACUGUACAUGCAAUGUGGUAUCAUACUGCUUUCAGCAGUUAUGGCUUCCCCAGGGAGUUGUAGAUUGUUGAUUUUGAGAUCCCGCACAAUACAACAAACCCCGGCCCCCCAUAUGAUUUUUGCAGUAGGGAAAGUGACAGGAGGGUGCAGUAGAAAGUGUGACAUAACAUUAUCUAACCUCCUCACAAACAAAUCAGAAUGAAUCCUCAAUAGCCUGGAGAAGAGGAGACUGACAGGAGAUAUGAAAACCAUAUUCGAAUAUAUUAAUGGCCGUCACAUAGAAGAGGAAGCAUGCUUGUUUUCUCCUGCUCUGGAAGGUAGGACUCGAACCAAUGGCUUCAAGUUACAAGAAAGGAGAUUCCAACUAAACAUUUGGAAAAGCUUUCUGACAGUCAGAGCUGUUCGGCAGUGGAACAGACUCCCACGAGAGGUGGUGGGCUCUCCUUCCUUGGAGGUUUGUAAGCAGAUGUUGGAUGGCCAUCUGUCAUGGAUGCUUUAGCUGAGAUUCCUGCAUUGCAGGGGGUUGGACUAGAUGAUCCUUGGGUCCCUUCCAAUUCUAAGAUUUUAUGAUUCUUUGAUUCUAAACAGGUGGUCUGGAAGUAUGGGUGAGGGAGAGAUUGAUUCAGUUUGCAUUUAAUGGUGAAUCUACAAAAAAAAAUCACAGUGAAAUAAUACAUGAACGAAAACACAGCUAUCCUUUAGAAUUCCCUGUAACCCGAAUUUUGUGAUGUAGUUGUCCGGUCAAACUAUGGGUACAAAAAUAUUAGGGGAAAGUAUGCAUUAAACAAUGUAUUAUGGAAAAUGGCAUAACAAAAUGCAUUAUAUAUGGGGAAACAGCUUGCAAAAAAGUAUACAUGAGUUAAAACUAUAUGAAAAUGAGAAUGGCGGGGGGCGGGUGUCACAAAUUGCAGAGAACCACAUCUAAGUCUGGAAAAAUGAGAAACGGACAGGGUCAAAAUGGACAGAUACUUCUAUCUCUGUUUGAAAGCAAUCUCAGAGAGAAUGUUUGCAAUUUAGUACAGGCUAGAACCUGCUCUGCACUUGUCCCUCUGCGGAUGUUAGAAAUAGGAUGCUUUUGAUCCCUCUGCUCUUUUGAAUUUGUCCAUCCGGAAUGUGGCUGAUCCCUGCUCUCAUUUCCAUUAUCUGGGUUGAUCUAGGAAUGUUGUGUGGGGAAGAACGAACCUGCCUUUGUUACUGUACCUAUCAAAACCAGCCCGGUCAUUUCCAGCCACACAAUUUUAUGAUCCUAGAAAAUAAAUUUUAAAAUUCCCCCAGAAACAUGAAAAGCAGAAUACUAGGUUUUGUGACUCAUUUCAUAAGCAGAUGUAAAAGAAAAUAUGUUGUGUUUCUUAUCACUGUAAUAUAAAAGGGAAGGAUCUAUUAUUUUGGUAAAUCGAUAGAAGAAACAGAUGUCCCAGGAAGUGAUGGUUGAUUUUCUUUGAAGGAUAUUUACUGCUUGUUUAUCUCACCUUUGCUUAAGUACCAUACACACUUUCCCCUCCAGUCCUUUAAUCUUCACAACAAUCAAGUAAGAUGGGUUUGUCUUGAAGAAAGUAACCGACCCAUGAUCACCCAGUGAGCUCCAUGGCUGAGUAGAGACUUAAACUCAGGUCCCUCUCUUCCUAGUCUUCAGAUAUGUAUGCACCAUACAUUUAAAGGACAUCAAAAGCAUGUCACACCCACUCAAAAGAAUCCUGAGAACUGUAGGUGAUCAAGAAUGCUGGGAAUGGUAGCUCUCCAAGUAGUAAACUACAGUUCUCAGGAUUCUUAGUGGUUUCGAUGUGCUUUAUGGCACGCAUGCAACCUGACACUAAUUCCUAAAGAGAAGUUUGGCUUGGAAAAAGACAGAAGUCUUUAAUCAAAGCUCCUGUUUGUGUUUGCUGUAAGAAGGACAAGCAACAACAACUGAUGCUUAAGCAAUUGCUUGUCACCUGCUGGAUGCGAAAAUCCAUCUGAUUGUUAUUAAGGUUGAUUAAAUUUGCAAUGCUGAUAGAUCUGUAGCAAGUCUCCCCCUCUACCUUCCCAUGGCUUGAGGUGAUGUCAUCAAAGUGUGCGGCAAUAACAAUGGCAGGGCUGGAACUGGGGUCAAAAGAGCCCUGACUUUCUGGGAAAUUUUUGAUUCACUCUAGAAUAAAUUCAAUGUCACAUUUUAAUUACAAUUCUGAGUCCUGGGGCUUCCAUACUCAGCUUGCUACCUGUAUGCCUAGGCACCUCAGGGCAUUUGGGGAAAUGUAUAAUGACAGGUCAUAACAGACCCUCCAAGUGUUCCUAUUCUCCAGGGACAUUUUUUAUUUAGAGAAGCCGUCCCGGUUUCUGAUUUGAUCUUGGAAUGUCCCGCUUUCCCUAGGACGUCCCUAUUUUCAUUGGAGAAACGUAUGGAAUUAUCCAACCCCUGAGCCAUCUGAAGGCAAUCCUGUAUAGGGAAGUGUAGUGGUUCAAGGGGUUGCUCGUGCGUAAGCCGGUGCCCACACCUGACUGGGUUGCCUAAGUGAACCUUUUCUGUCCGGACAGCCACUCACCCGUGGCUGUCUCAAUCGCUGGCAGAAUCCGUCAGUGGGCGUUUCUUAAACUUCUUCCAGCAAAGUUCUUUCACGCCCAGUCGCCUCCUACUUUCCCUGCGCGGAAGCCUUCUGCGCAAAGAAGGCGUAGGCAGCGGAGGACCCUUCCUCCCCCCACUGGUCCCAGGCAAGGAGUCAUGUGACUCUCUCUCAGAUUCCCCCAUCUGCCCCCCUUCUCCACUGGAGCUGAGCUGAUUCCCUUCCCCAGAAGAUGGGCUGCCUCUCCCAAUCCCGUGACGCUCUCUGGGAUCCCUCUGGAGCUCUCUCUCUCCCUCCGGCACUGGUGGCAGUUCCCUGACAGGAAGUUUUUGGGUUUUUUAAACAUUUAAUAUUUUAUUAUGUUUUUAUAUAUGUUGGCAGCUGCCCAGAGUGGCUUGGGCAACCCAGUAAAAUGUGUGGGGUAUAAAUAGUAAAAUUAUCAUUAUGGAAUGGGACGUCCCUAUUUUCAUCAGAGAAAUGUUGGCGGGUAUGAACUGACUGCUACCUGGAGUGGGAACCCCAGAAUUGGCAUUGGCACCACUGGGAUCUUCCAGGAGCCCUGGAGCCCUGGCAGGUGCCUGCUAGUGUCAGGAGGUGCUGACCCCAGGCCUGGAUAGCUGCAUCAUAUACUCUCAGAUCUUAUCCCAUGCAGAGAUUUCUUCCUGAUUUACUUACCACACCACAUUUGUUUUUCAAUGUGUUUGUGUAGCAACGGGGACUGUACGUUGUCACAAAUGACUCAAGGUAAUUCUUAUCGUAGCAGUGUUUUCCCUUUCUGAUUAAAUGUCUGCAGGCUCCUCAUACCUCAGCCAGACAUUUAUUUACAUACCCCUCUCUUGCCCUGCUUCCUCCGUGCACUGGCUACAUUUCUCGUCAUUAGUUUUGCUUUUGCAGCCACAAUUUUAUUCGUUAAUCUUGCAAACUGAGUGCAGGUCAAGAUGGCUGCAUGCCAGCAUUAUAGGUUGCGGGGAGCAAAACGAAAAAUGAAAAACAAGCAGCACGUGUCAAGAUGAGAUGGGAAUUACAGGAAGGUCCUGGUACCUUGCCAAAUAGCAAUGCAUAAUGCCUACUCUGUUGUCAGAUAAACGUGGCCUGACUCCCAUACCUUUUGGGACGUUUCCCAUUAGUACUGCUCUCAGAAGGCUACAGGAAGAGGGUGUUUGUUUGUUUGUUUGUUUGUUUGUUUGUUUGUUUGUUUUACCAAGGUUGUUGUUCUUUAGUCAUUUAGUCGUGUCCGACUCUUCGUGACCCCAUGGACCAGAGCACGCCAGGCCCUCCUGUCUUCCACUACCUCCCGCAGUUUGGUCAGACUCAUGUUUGUAGCGUCAAGAACACUGUCCCACCAUCUCUCCCUCUGUCGUCCCCUUCUCCUUGUGCCCUCAAUCUUUCCCAACAUCAGGGUCUUUUCCAGGGAGUCUUCUCUUCUCAUGAGGUGGCCAAAGUAUUGGAGCCUCAGCUUCAGGAUCUGUCCUUCCAGUGAGCACUCAGGCUGAUUUCCUUCAGAAUGGAGAGGUUUGAUCUUCUUGCAGUCCAUGGGACUCUCAAGAGUCUCCUCCAGCACCAUAAUUCAAAAGCAUCGAUUCUUCAGUGAUCAGCCUUCUUUAUGGUCCAGCUCUCACUUCCAUACAUCACUACUGGGAAACCAUAGCUAUAACUAUACGGACCUUUGUUGGCAGGGUGAUUAACUCAAAGUAAACCUUGUAAGCCACUGCCAGUCAGUGAAAACAAUACUGAGCUAAAUAACCCAAUGGAGUGGAGUGCCUUCCAUCAGAUGUGCACUUAUCUGGACAGGGAUAGCCUAACAUCUGUUGUCUAUGCUCUGGAAACCUCUAGGUUAGAUUACUGGUACUAUCUGAAAACGGGUUUGGAAACUGUAGCUGGUGCAAGAUCAGCAGUCAGGUUGCUCAUCGGGGCAAAAUGGUUUGAACAUAUCACACCGAUCCCGGCCCGGCUGCACUGACUGCCAGUUAGCUUCCUGGACCAAUUCAAAGUGCUGGUUUUGCAUUAUAAAGCCUUAAACAGCUCAGGACCGCAAUACCUCCAGGACUACCUCUCUCCACAUGAACCUACCUGGACCCUGCAAAUAAUCAUCUGAGGCCCGGGGGUGGGACAACACAAAAAUGGGCCUUUUCUGCAGUGGCUCCCCAUAUGUGGAAUGCUUUGCCCAGAGAGGUUCGUCUGGCUCCUUCAUUAAAUAUAUUUAGGUGCCAGGCUCAAACGUUUCUCUUCAACUGAGCCUUUGGCUGAUUAACAUUCUAUGUCCUUUUAAAUGUGUUUCUGGCAGGGAGGUUAAUGGUUUGGUUUGGUUUUAUUAUGUUAUUUUGUAUUUUGUGUUCUCAUUUUGUACUUUUUAUGUUGUGAUCUUUGAAUGAAAGAUGGUAUACAGAAUGAAUGAAUGUGCUUCCUAUGUUCCAGUUUUGCUGCUAGUACUGUAGCUGGGGCCCACCAACUGUGUUAAAAUUAGCCAAUUGGGAGCGGGGGCAUGGAGGUAAUCAUUAACAUUUUGCAAUAUAUGUUUUUUCCUCCUAAAAGAAAACCUGCAGCUGGAGGCAUUAUGGAUGCACAACUUCCUGCAAAGCAAUUAGAAAUAUGAUGAAAUGAAACCUGGGUACACAGACACAAAAAGACUUAUGAAUAUCAAUGCUGGAGAGACCUACUCAACUAUAACAGGAGCAGUAUUUCAAAAUGCACCUUCUGCUUCCAAGCACUUCUUUUCUUUCAGAAAGAAAAAAGGGAAAGGAAAGAAAGGAGAAAUUUUCAGCACCCUCUUGAUAGCAUUCAAGACUUUCCACCUCUGUUGCUCUCUUUUAAAAAAGCAAUUCUGAGAAAUAAUAAUAACAAUAAUAUGGAAAUACUUAUUUUGCAAUCACUUUUAGCUGCUGGGCUAAAACUGGUAGUUUAGCAAUAAUUCUCAGCCCCAGGAUCUGGGUUUACUGUGCCAGCAAUGGGCAGCUCCCAGCAGUGGUAUCUGGUGAUCACUAGGACCGGUGGGUUGGAAGGCAGAGGAGCCAACAGGAGCUGCAGCCAGAGUCAAUGCCAGGCAUAAUCCAACUAUGAUACCACAUUAAGCAGUCAUGGUUUCCCUCAAAGAAUUAUAGGAGCUGUAGUUCAUUAAGGGUUCUAAGUACUGUAGUUUUCCGUGUAUAAGACAAUGGUUUUUUAUUGUAAAUGAAUGUUAAAAAUUGGGGGUGAGUGAUUUUUGGCAACCCCCCCCAAAAGCUCAACAACUCUGGGCAAUCCCCCCCAAAAAGCUUAAGAACUCAGGGAAAUCUCCCCCUAUUUUCUUAAUUUUGGGUCCCCAAAAAUAGGGGUCGUCUUAUACACGGGGGCGUGUUAUACAUGGAAAAAUAUGGUAUAUUGUACUGUGAUUUACAGAGGUACUGCAAUGUACAGGUUAGGGCCUAGGAGACCUGGGUUCAAAACCUCACUCAGCCUUUAAGCCCACUGUAUGCCCCUGGAGCAAUUGCUGUGAUUUCUACUUUGGUGAAUGAUGUCUGCUGCCUGCAAUCUUCUGUCUACUUACAUGAGAGUAAGUUGCAUCAAGCUCCUUUCUUAAUUCACCUGGGAAACAAGUCAUUGUGGUUGAUGCAGUAUUAAAGCAGCAUUACUCACAAGGGAAGGGGAUCGUGUCCUAGAUGCUGCACCAGCUCAAGGUCCCACUGUUCAGGCCCCACCUUUGGCAUUCUGAUUUGAAAGUCCCACUUAGGGCCGCAGUAUAGCUUACCGUCACCCUUUGGACCCAACCCAUACACCAACCAGAGCACACUUUAGGCGGACAUCACAAUUCUAACUCUUUACUCCUGUUAUUGCUUGCUCAGAGAUGACAUUGCUGGAACUCAAAGAGACUUCUGAGGAGUGUGUUAAUAGUGGCUUAGAACUGGAUUCAAAAGAAAUUGGCUGGACCUCCAGGUCAAGUUAUCAGCCUGUACGUCAGGAACUUGGGGUUUAUGGUGCCUCAUACACCACAUAGCUUGAUGUCCGGUACACGUUGCACAGCAUCUACGGUACUUCCUCUUGUGUACAAUCUAACUACAUUUCUAAAAAGAGUGGGUUAGGGAGGAAUGAGAUGGGGAAAGGAGGGAGACCAGAUCGUGUCUCCGCUUUUCUCUUUUACUGAAGAAGAACAGGAUAUUUUAAUGCCAUCAUCAUCACAGAGCUGUCUGUGGAGAGGAAUGUAUUGAUUGAAAAUGUAUUAUAACUGUAUUGUUACUUUUGAAUAAAUCUUUUUUGAAUAACCUUUUUUUAAUAAAUAAAAAAAAGGAAAGAGAACAAAUAGUGGAGGUUGGUCCAUUAGGCCAAUGCCCCACUAAUCUCAGCCUGCCCUCGGCCAGCCCCCUAGCUAUGGGAAGGGUUGUAGCUCAGUAAUAAGAGCAUCUGCUUUGCAUGCAGAAGGUCUCAGGUUCAACCCCAACCCCAGCCUGAAACCCUGGAGAUCAGCUGCCAGUUAGAGUAGACAUUCCUGAGCUGGAUGAACCAAUGGUCUGGCUUGGUAUAAGGCAGCUUCCUGUAUUCCUGUCCUGGUAUUCAUCCUCCCCCACCCCUAUCCAAUCUCUGUCUUUUGCAAUAGGGGGACCAGCCAUCACUGACCAAGGGAUCUAACAAGCAGCACUGGCUACUACUGGCUUUCUCAAGGUCAAGCCAGUCAUCAUGCUCAUCAUGUAGUGCAGUCCUGUGUACCUGGUUGCUGGUUGGUAUGUAGCCAGCAUGGAAAAGUGGGGUGGGGAAGCUAGAUCAGGACUGUGGGUAGGUAUACCAUACCUUUGAAGCACAUUCCCCCACCUCAAAGAAUUCAGGACAUUGCCAUUUAUUAAGGGUAGCAAGGAAUUGCAACUCUGAGGAGUAAUCUGUAGUGCAGAACCCUAGGGACAGGGGACUCAGCUACACUGGCAAAGAAAAAGCGCUUCAUAUGCGCUGUAUAUACAUUAUAACACUCUGACACCAGAUGGGGCUAUGGGAGUUCUGUUUUUGCCAAUUUCUCUUACAAAGUUUACAACGCAUUUAACUGAAACGCUUCUUUGAUGUGUCUAGAAUCCAGUGAGAGAAAGCCUAAUAAGUGAAUCCACCCUGCUUCAUUGUUAAAGGCUGGGAGGGAAAGGGGUUGUCUACUGUUGGGACAACUUUGUAGCUUCCAUUUGGUUGUGAACUUCUUGCCUUGUUCAUGUGCCUUGGAAUCUUGACUUUCCAUGCUUGCUGCUGAGCUUGUGCUGCCAUUCACCUGAAUAAAUAUUCCUUCCUUAUUUUCAAGUGAGAGUUGCUGUCAUGUUUUGGGACAGGAAUCCGGCAACCACAGAUGUAUGACAGGAGGAAUGAGCCAUUGCCGCCAGCAGCACAUUAUUCCCACUGCAAAUAGGUGGGGUGGAUUCUGAUCAGGAUCACAGUGGGGCCCAAGGCAUUUUUGAAAUCAAAUAAUGCAGCCAAAAAAUACAAUAAAAAUUAUGUCAUCAGGUGAUUGACAAACUUUGCUUUUAAGCAGUAACCGUAAUAGUAAUGUUGUCGUUGUGAAGUAUGCUUACUUUUAAAGACCCCCUUCCCCCGAGUACUGCAAAUUGCGUUUUUUGUUUGUUUGCAGAAGGCACAACCUGUUUUUUGUGUUUGUUCAGCUUGUGGUUCCUUUGAAGGCUGUAGACAGCUAGGAAGCAUUUUUACAAUGGCCAUCACCUCCCAUAAAUAUAUGUCAUUGCUUGGGCACUGAGUUAGCAGUUGUGCGGAAACCUCUCUUUCCCCCCAAAAAACUAUGUGAUGCAAGACUAGAAAAUAAAGGCGUCACGUGACCAAGAACCAAUUUAUUGGUACUGUGCUUCACAAAACAACACUUUCAAUUUCAGUACAGGUUUUUGGUGACACAAAAAAGCAUGUUGCUUAACCAAUCCGAGUUUUUAAAUCUUUUUUCGACCCAGUUUUCCUGCCAGCUUUUAAGUUUCGUCAAAGAGGGGAAAUUCUAACAUAACUUGCAUGUAGAAUUUGAAGCCUGUGUAGUAAUGAACAUAACUUUGUGAUUGGACAAAAAAUAAAGGAAACAUACUCUUGUAUCGCAUGGGGUUGGAAUAGAUGGCCCUCAGGGUCCCUUCCCACUCCAUGAUUCUAUCCCUAUUCCUAUGUACAAGAGAAAGCAGGGGAAGGGAAUUUCCAGCCUGGGUGUAGAUGUGGCCCUCCAGGCCCCUCUGUCUGGCGCUCAAAUCUCUUCCUAGGUAACAGCCUCCACUUCUUCACACCUCAAGUAUUAUUUUGUUUGUUCUGCUUGGGUGGAAUCUGUUCUUCAGCUAUGAAAACGACUCUUUCUUGUCUGGUUGGAGAACAGGGAAAGGUGUGUGAGUGUGCCUAGGAAUCAGCCUACUUCAAAAAGGUAAAAUUAACAGUAUGUCCAUUGCCCACUUUUGCCUCUCGCUCCACCCACCACUGUGUCCCUCUGAAGGCUGCUUAGGAAGGCAUGUCGCCCUUGGAUUAAAAAGCAUUCCCCAGUCCUGCAGUAAAACAGUUGUUGAGGGAUUUUAUUAGCCCACCUUGGAGCUAAUAGCAUCCUAAGGUGGAAGGGAACAUCAGACAAGUGCAGAGCAGUGGGGCGCUGCUCUUGGCCCUGCUCCCAGUGUUGGGCACCUUGUCUGGCCCCACAAUUAGACACCUAGGAGUUACCCUGAUUGUCUGUAAUGCACCUGCUUGUGUCCAUACACAUGCUUGUGCCUAUGCCAAGGCUCCUCGACUUUUUAGGUCUGGGGGCAUAUUAGGAAAUCUAAGAACCACAAGACAGACAAAAAACUGGCAGAACCUAAUAAACAGGCAAAGCACCAAUAUACACCACAAAACAAAUAAAAUGCAGACAAAAACGGACAGUGGGUCUUGCUGGGCACCACCAGGGUGUUUAAGGGUGCCAUACUGGUGAUCUCAGGGCUAAGCUUUCACUCCUCCAUUGUCUCCUGAGACAGACGGAUGCCAACAAAGGAGUAGCCUUGACAAAGCAAUGUCAGUGUAGCCACCCAUUUCCCAUAGCUGGUUAGAUAGAUGCUUGCUGAGAAGUUUUUCAGCAGAGCAUAAAGUCAUUGCUCUCCCUGCUGUUGCCACCUCCAGUCACUUACUCAGUGGCACACCACUCCUGAUGUUGGACUCUCCAUGCAACUAUCAUGGCUAACAGCUAUUUAAUGCCAUGAUCCUCCACAAACUUGUCUAAUCUUACUUUAAAGCCACCAUUUCUACUAAAUUUAAUGGUCACAAAAGCCUCUUGUGAUUUAUUUGAGAGAGAGCAAAUGGAACAUUUGUGCAAUGCUUUUCUUUGGGAACACUCAUUCCAAAACGCUUUGCUGAUGUUCCUUCCUGUAUCACGUCAAGCUUUCCUUGCCCAAACCAUGCAGCUACCCUUCCCAUACCCAUAUCAUCACAGAUGAAAACUGUUUAUCUCUAUGAUCAUAUAGGACCAAAAUGGCACGGAAGAGUCUAUUAUUAUGCCACAGUGCUAUCCAUGGUGCUGAUCACCACAUAACACUAUUUAAAACAGCCUUUCUCGACCUUGGGUCCCCAGAGGUUGUUGGACUACAACUCCCAGCAUCCCUGACCACUUUUCCAGUUAGCUAGGGAUGAUGGGGUUUGUAGUCCAACAACAUGUGGAGACCUAAGAUUGAGAAAGGCUUAUUUAAAACAAACAUGGCAUUGCAUUUGGAUUUUGGACAUUCAGAGUAUAAUGUAAAAGAACACAACAACUGGGAACAUACAGCCCAACCCUACCCAUGAUCAUGCAGAAAUAAGACCCGCUAAGUUCAAAGUGAUUUAUUAUUAGGUAAGACUGCACAAGAUUGCAGGCAUAACAUUGGAAAUUACUGAGGUGAUAGAUCAGUUCCAAAUCCCCAGCUUGUGUAAAGGAAAUCCCUUAUAAUCCUCUCUGUAUUCAGAGGCUUUCUUGUUGACAGCAUUGAUUUAGCUUCCCUGGAAUACUGCAGCCCAUUAUCAGUUUGGAUUAUAAAAUGGAUUCCUUGAAUAUCAAGGGAUGCAACACUGUAGAUUCAGCAUCACACUAGUAUUCAGAGGUCAUUAGGGCCAUUCCCUUCUGCUUAUGUUAGCAAAACUGUGGCUGUUAGCUUUGCCUUUGAAGACUCUUUGGAAAACUCAGUAUGCAGCUGCCUGAUUAGUAACUGGGAUUGGGCAUUGCUAUCGUAUUAAAUUCGGCACUUGAGAAUUUAAGUAGAGCUAUGCUGGAUCAGGCCAAAGGACAAAUAGUUCAGCAUCCUGGUCACACAGUGACCAACCAGAUGCCCAAACAGGCCCUGAGGGCAACAGGGCCCUGAUGAUUUUCAGCAAAGGGUAUUCAGGAGCAUUCUGCUUCCAGCAGUGGAGGCAGAAAUGGCUAGCAACCAAAGUUAGCCUUAUUCUCAAUCUAAUCCUCUUUUAAAGCCAUCAGGCACCUACCUGGUCAUCUUUCCAUCACCCAGCGAAGACCUGUUUAUUUCCCAAGUUCUUUAUACAGAAUUUUAAUCUCGUUUAUGGAUUUACAGUGGUCUUGGUGCUACUGGUUGUCCCCUAGUGCAGGGUUUCCCAAACUUGGAUCUCCUGCUGUUUUCAGACUACAAUUCCCAUCAUCCCUGACCUCUGGGCCUGCUAGCUAGGGAUGAGGGAGUUGUAGUCCAAAAACAGCUGGAGAUCCACAUUUGGGAAACCCUACCCUAGUAAGCCUGUUCCUGUUAUUGAUGGGUGAAGGUUAGGGCUUGACUUACUGCUUUUCUUGCUUGCUUGCUGUAGCACAGGAGUUCAUGUUUAGUAUGCAGAAGACCCCAAGUUAAAUCACUGGCAUCUGCAGGUAUGAGUAAGAAAGAUCCCAGUCUGAGAUCAUUGGAGAGCCACUGCCAGUCAGUGAAGAGAGCACUGAACAGUUCAUAGACACAUACAUUUAGAAGAGGUCAUAGCUUAAUUUAUGCAAUUCGAGAAAUGCAGAACAAAGCUGAGGUGCAGGAGGCUAGCAGUUACAUGGUCUGGUUUCUCCAUAAAAAGUGAGAGAAUGGAGGAUGCCAUUUCCAGAUUAAAUAAGAGUAGAAGCCUAGGUUGAAAACUAGAGAGAAGAAAAAGUAAAGGCACUGAAAAACCGAUGUAUUAUCAGGGAACCCCACGUGCAGGUCGUAUCAAGAUACAGGGAACCUGGCAGAGGGCCUUCUCGCUAGUGACGCCUGCCCUGUGGGACACCCUCCUGCCAGCUGUCAAAGAGAUAAAUAAUUUUACAACCUUCCAUAGACAUCUGAAGGCAGCCCUGUAUCAGGAAGAUUUUAAUGUGUGGUGUAUCAUGUGUUCUUUUAUAUUCUGUUGGAAGCCACCCAGAGUGGCUGGGGCCACCCAGUCAGAUGGGCAGGUACAAAAAAUACAGUGGUGCCCCGCAAGACAAAUGCUGAAAAACUUGCUAGACGAAAGGGUUUUGCGUUUUUUGAGUCGUUCCGCAAGACGAAUUUCCCUAUGGGCUUGCUUCGCAAGACGAAACGUCUUGCAAGUUCUUGCGAGUUUGUUUCCUUUUUCUUAAAGCCGCUAAGCCGUUAAGCCACUAAUAGCCAUGCUUCGCAAGAUGAAAAAACCGCAAGACGAAGAGACUCGUGGAACGGAUUAAUUUUGUCUUGCGAGGCACCACUGUAAAUUAUUUUUACUAUUAUCUCAUUAUCUUCAAGUACAGUGGUACCUCGGGUUAAGAACUUAAUUCGUUCUGGAGGUCCGUUCUUAACCUGAAACUGUUCUUAACCUGAAGCACCACUUUAGCUAAUGGGGCCUCCCGCUGCUGCCGCACCACCGGUGCAUGAUUUCUGUUCUCAUCCUGAAGCAAAGUUCUUAACCCAAGGUAAUACUUCUGGGUUAGCAGAGUCUGUAACCUGAAGCGUCUGUAACCUGAAGUGUCUGUAACCUGCGGUACCACUGUAUUCUGUUUUUACUCUAUGAAUGUUGCUGCUCAGUAUCACAGUCUAAAAUCUGACUUCUCAAGCUCAUUGAAAGGGGAUGAAAUCUACUACAGAGUAAUGCAUACAAUCUAUGUCAAGCUCAAACAACAAUUGCAGUAGGGUUUGACUUUGAGAGGGUUUUAAAAAAACACACACCAGAAAAAACCCACAACCUCUUUCUGUAAUGAAAUUCCCAUGGGGAAUUUCUCAGGGGAGAGCAUAGCUCAAUCUCAUUUACUCCAGGGGAAUUUCCUUCAAGGUGAAUUGACUUUCCUUCAUUAAAAUCGAGAAAUGCUAUUAACUAUCCAUGCUCCCCAACCACCUUUCUCCAUUCACAGAGUAUAGAUUCAAUAAUAAACACAGCAGCAUAUUUUCAAAGGGAAGAGAUGAUGAAAUAUUUGGGCAGGCAGCAUAAGACCAACUUGCAACAUUUGUAUCAUUAGCCAGCCUGCAAGCAGGUUCUGCUUCUGGGCUUUUAUUGCUUUCAUACGCAACAUUUUCUUUUUUAAAAAAAUAUCCAUAUUUCUUUCCUGUUUUAGUAAACUUUAGAACUUGUUCCAUAGCCUCUUUGUAUCUUAACACCCUCAUGCUUGAUCUGCCUCACUACCUAAAGAGACCCCAGGAAAAUUUGGCAGCUAAUUGAUAAUGGGUGGGUAUAUUAUUCAUCCUUUGUCUAGUAGCAGCUGUGGAUUUUAAAGGGAGAGAGUAGGCAUGAGUAGAGGAUUCACUCUGUGCUAGGCAGGAACACUAUCCCUCUCAGACAGCGUGGAACCUAGCAGGGACGGCUCACCCAUAAGGCAAGGCGAGGUGACAGGUUGAUCGCCCCCUCCCCCCCCCGCUUUCUCCUUAUGUAGAUCUUCCCUCACACCUUCUUCCUUGGAGGGGGGUGUGUGCCAUUUUGAGACCAACUCAGGUGUUAAAAUGUCUUGGGUUAGCUUUGCGACCCAGGGUCACUGGGAGUUGGUCACUAAGGGAGGCCAGCAAAAUAUGGAAGACUGCAGGUUUCCCUGGUACAGAUUCAGCCACAAUCAUUUGCCCCUCUGCCCCUCUUUUCUUUAAAAAUGUUUGUUUUCCAGAUAUUGAGCCUGUCCACACACUUGGCAUCGGGGGGGGGGGGGGAGGUUUCCCUGGUGCACUUUUGUACAUAGUGAUUUGAGAUUGUGCACAUAUUUGUACGAUAACAUCACCCAAAGUGGCAGGAGCUAUCCAUGUACACACAGGUAGACAUGCUUUCAAACUAGUGCACAACAAAAAUUGUGUUCUCUAUUCUGCUCAGUUAGUGUUUCUACAGGCACUAAGAUGGAAUCUACACACAUAUAAAAACCGUUACGAAAAUGCUUUUUUUAAAAAGCGCUUUUAAAAAUGCAUUUAAUUUUCCAUAAGGCUCACCAUCGCAGUCUGUGCCACAUUGUAUAUUGCACUUAAAACACACUUAAAACGUUUUAUUUGCAGCUGUAUAGCUAAGUCCUUUGUGUUACACACACACACACACACAGAGAGAGAGAGAGAGAGAGAGAGAGAGAGAGAGAGUUGUGUUAAUAUACUGAUAUACAGAAGAUAUGGGAUGCAGAUGGCGCUAUGGUCUAAACCACUGAGCCUUGUGGGCUUACUGAUCGGAAGGUUGGCGGUUGGAAUCUGCACAACAGAGUGAGCUCCAUUGCUCUGUCCCAACUCCUGCCAACCUAGCAGUUCGAAAGCAUGCCGGUGCAAGUACAGUGGUACCUCGGGUUACAUAUGCUUCAGGUUACAUACACUUCAGGUUACAGACUCCGCUAACCCAGAAAUAGUACCUUGGGUUAAGAACUUUGCUUCAGGAUGAGAACAGAAAUCAUGCUCUGGCAGCGCGGCUGCAGCGGGAGGCCCCAUUAGCUAAAGUGGUGAUUCAGGUUAAGAACAGUUUCAGGUUAAGAACGGAUCUCCAGAACGAAUUAAGUUCUUAACCUGAGCUACCACUGUAAAUAAAUAGGUACCACUGCAGCGGGAAGGCAAAUGGCAUUUCUGUGCACUCUAAUUUCUUUCAGGGUGUCCAGUUGCGCCAGAAGUGUUUUAGUCCUGCUGGCCACAUGACCUGGGAAGCUGUCUGUGGACAAACGCCGGCUCCCUUGGCCUGAAAGUGAGAUGAGUGCCGCAACCCCAUAGUCGCCUUUGACUGGACUUAACCAUCCAGGGGGCCUUUACCUUUAUACAGAAGAUGCAUAAUGGGAUGUCAGGGAACUGAUAUCGGAGCCUGAGGCGGAGGGAAGGCUCUCAAAUGAUGCUGGAGAAGGGCCAAGCGGGGAGAGAGGCAGUUCAGCAGAGGGGGAAGCAAAUCAACGUUACACCAGGGAUAAAGGGGGGCAGAUGGGGGAAUCGGCGAGAGGGCUCCAGGACUCUUCACUGGACACCAGCGGGGAGAGCACGGGUCCUCCGCUACCCACGCCCUCCCUGCGCAGAAGACUCCCGCGCAGUGAGAGGAGGAGGAGACUGGGCGUCAAACAACUUUUAUGUUGGAAGAGGUUCAAGAAACGCCCACUGACGGAUUCUGUUAGCGACUGAGGCAGCCACGAAUUUAAGGGCUGUCCAGACAGAAAGGUUUAACCAGGCAACAUAGCCAGGAGAGGCGGCAACUUACGCACGAGCAACCCCAUACCAUUAUAUGGGAUACGGAGGCAGCUAAGUUACUAUGCUGCUUCCUGUUUUGCCUGUUUCGUUCACAAACAAGUUAAACAUGAAAAGAGGGAGUGGCCUCAAUAGGAAGUCCUUUCUGUGUACACAUGUACAUAGCAAAUGCUUGAGAAGUCCAGGCCUUUUUGUUUUUUCAGCCAGAACUCACUGAUACUCAGUUCCUGCAGCUCUCAGGUGAGAGUCAUUGCCAUUGUUAGAGAACAAGGUAGAGGGUGUUCAUGGUGAGUUCUGACACAUUUCUUUCUAGAAAAAGAAGUCUAUUCUCUGCAGACAAUGAAUUAUAACAAUUCCCACAGGAUGUGUUUCAGAUUGUGUUUCUUUUUCCUUUCUCCUCCUGCGAUGAGGCUGCAUUUUAAUAUUUUAAUGUUACAAUAUUUUAAUUGUUGUAUUUUAAUCUUGUUUUUAAGUUGUAUUCAUUCAACUUGUUUUUAUUAUUGCUUGUUAGCCGCCCUGAGCCCGGCCUUGGUUGGGGAGGGUGGGUUAUAAAUAAAAAUUAAUUAUUAUUAUUAUUAUUAUUAUUGACAAAUAGUGUGGGAUGGGAAUGAUGCAAUGUGCAGGUAAAUUCAAUGUGCACAGCACCUCAAAAAGGCAUUUGAUUAAUCAAAAACACGCUUUUGAUUAAGCAGGGUAACAGCUCAGAAGAGUGAAACAGAACCCAGCAAAUGUCCUUUAAAUGUCUCUGGUCUUGUUUCCCUGCCUCACUGGCUCUGAUGUUGCCUCAGACUAAGCUGAAUGCCUAGAUAUUUCAGAUUCAUGUCAGAAGAGGCUCAGGCGGGAGAGCCUGACAAGAGAAAGCAGACUUCUUGUCUCCAGGCCCCUGCUAGGGUGAGGAGGAAAAGUUCAGAAGGUAAUUCAAAACGGAGAAUUGGCAAUUUAGUAGAACAUGAUGGUUCUUUUGUGUGUGUGACAGCUUCCCUGGAGAGCACAGCACAGGUCUUCGUAGAGGCUAAGUGCCCUGCGUUGUAAAAGCUAGGUUUGCAGCAGGUUUGGGUAGAGGAGAGAUAAUAUAGUAUGAUAGCAAUAGUGCUCAGUGCUAUAGUACUACUCAGAAUGCAUACACACCAUGCAUUUAUAGCGCGCGCACACACACACACAAAAAAGAAUCCUGGGAACUGUAGUUUACUUCUGGUACAGGACUGCAAUUCCCAGCACCCUUGAAAAAAUAAAAUCCCCAGUCCUUGUGGGUGGGGGAUGUGCUUUAAAUGUAUUUUAAAUGUAUGGUGCUAAUGCGGCAAUAAUAGCUAGUAACUGCAAUAGUUGCUAGAGAAUCUUACUGGGAUGCAAGUCCUCCAUUCCUUUCCGUUCACAGUUCUGGGGUAGCAAAAUAUACAUGCCAACCCAUUAUUAGCUAAUGGCAUGGUUAUAAUUUAGGGCUGCAUACUGUAAGAGGAAGACAGUGGUGGCCACUUGCUACUCAAGAGCAGUUAUGGCUCACCCUUAAAGACCAAUGGACUUCACGGUCAUUCGCUUUAUGGUCAAGAGAUGUCAAACUAGUCCUCCAAAUAACUUCCCCCGUUAUCUGUUAUUGCUUUUGUUUGCAUGUUUAUUUCAUGCCUUCUGCAGGACUGCUUGCCUUGGGAUGGUUUGCCUCAAAGGAACAACCUUAUUAUUACCAUGUCAAGGUUACCCCACAGUGUUUCAUGGGCCUGCUGACAUUCAAACCUGGAUCUGACCCACCUAAGAACUUGUCCAAACUUCUGCUUGCCCUGUGCCUAGAAAGCACAGGUCCGAGCAGUUUCCCAUUUCCCCUGUGCUUUCUAGGCAAGAGUCUGAGCAGUUUUACCUUUGCCGCAUCAUUUCCCCUGGAAAACCCACUCUUUAGUGCUAAAUCUUCAGUCCGGGGGAAACCCAAUUGAUAUUUGCUCCAAUUCAGCAGUAAACAGCGGGUUUUCCCCGAAGGGAAAGUGACAGGGCAAAUGGAAGUGAGGAUGAGUCUGUAGUGAAACAUUCUAUUGACUGCACAACACCGGCUCUCAGACCUCAUCACAGUAUACACAAAUACACAGAGUCAUAGAAUCAUAUAAUUGUAAAGUUGGAAGGGACCACAAGGGUCAUCUAGUACAGGGAUCUUUUUGACCAAUAUGGGGCUUGAACCCACGACCCUGAAGUUAAGAGUCUCAUGCUCUACCAAAGUGCCUGCAGAACAGACACAGCCGUUGCCCCCCAUUUUUCAGUUGCUUUAUCAUUCUUGAGUGUAUAACAGACUCAUAGUUCUGAAUCUGAUGUCUGGUCUGCUUUUCCAGAAAGCCUUCUAUGUACCAAGUCCACAUCACCAAACAAAGCAGACAAAGGCUUUGGGGUCAAACACAAUCAGCCAGCAUGCUAAGUCAACAGCUGACCUUUUUCUGCACAACCUUUCCAUCUCUAUUUUAUUUUUUAAAGCCUUCCCCCCCCCCCCACACCUCUGGCUCAGAUUGCUAAGCCCUGUAGGGAUGUUAAGAAGCGUUUUUCUGUGUGUCACGGGGGGGGGGGAGGCACUUGGGCUGAAACUGAUUCAUUUUCCUUCUGCUGGAAAACAGCCAGGUCUUAUAAAUGGCAAAGGAUGGUUUUAGGAUUGCCUACACAAUAUCACUGUGAAGCUUUCCUGUUGUAAGUCUGCAUGGAGAAGGAGUGUCUGUGUGAUGUUACCAUAAUCAGCACAGAGGAAAGUCACACCCCAAACCCAAAGCAUGUGUGGAAAACCUACAUUGCAGUAUUAUUAGAAUUACUAAUCCAAUUUAUUCAUAUAACACCUUUUUCUCUCCCAAAACUUCCCCCAAAUGCUGAACAGCAGGGCUUUUUGCCAGCCAGAAUUUGCCAGAACUCAGUUCCUGCACCUCUCAGGUGGGCACCGUUGCCAUUAUAAGAGAACAAGGAAGGUGUUCAUGGUGAGUUCCAACACCUCUUUCUCUAGAAAAACAGCUCUGCUGAACAGCCUAUUAAAAUUACCAUAGAGUACAACAAAAUGUCCAUAGCAAGCAAAAACAUGUAACUGAUGAAUCCUAACUAUAGGAAGUCAGCAAAGUCUAGGCUGGAAUUACCGUAGAUACUCUAUUUCAAAUUCCAAGCAUGAGUCCCUGACUGAGCAAUCAGAUUAGUGUGGGUCCGAGUUUUAAGGAUUUGGAACUAGGCCACAUAACUGUAAUGAACAGAGUUUUGAAUUAGUCUAACCAUUACCUUGCCCCACACCAACACGGGCCUUUUGGGAGACCUAUGCUGCUGUAUGUUUUGUUAACUGAGUCAAGAGGGACUCAGUAUCUCUGCCUCAGUGAGCAUGAGGAAUUUACACCAGUGUAGGUAUAGCUGAACCCUGGCUGAUCUAGGAAAGCCCAAGAUUUGCCAAAUCCAAACUCUCUUAUCCCAGCGGAUCUUGGAUUUCAAUUGUGCUGCAAAUCAGCAAAAUCUCAUCUUGGGGAGAGAGCCAAAGGAAAAGUUUCAGAAGCUAGGGGAUUAAAGGGUGCUUCACCAACUUUCCAUCCCCCCCACAGUUAUCAAACAAAUGAAACAAACAGUCUGGGGGUGGGGAUAAUUUCGGACACCUGCUGGUCUGGCUUUCCAGGACGGGAGGCAAAUGAUACAAAAUAAACAUUAGCUGAGCGAAUUAGGGAUGCAGGCUUUAGGCGGCCAUCCUCAACACACUACUAGGGAGUAAGUUCCACAGCACACACUACUUCUUGGUCCCUACUUUUUAGUACCAUUUAUCACACAAUCCCUCCCUUCCAACAACAUGCAAUCACUUCAGUGCACUCUUGGAUCCCCCACUCCCUCAACCCAUAUCAUACACUACCCAACUGCUUGGUAAAGGUAAAUGUAAAGGGACCCCUGACCAUUAGGUCCAAUGAUGACCGACUCUGGGGUUGCGGCGCUCAUCUCGCUUUAUUGGCCGAGGGAGCCGGCGUACAGCUUCAGGGUCAUGUGGCCAGCAUGACUAAGCCACUUCUGGCAAACCAGAGCAGCGCACGGAAACGCCGUUUACCUUCCCGCCAGAGCGGUACCUAUUUAUCUACUUGCACUUUGACGUGCUUGUGAACUGCUAGGUUGGCAGGAGCAGGGACCGAGCAACAGGAGCUCACCCCGUCGCAGGGAUUCGAACCGCCAACCUUCUGAUUAGCAAGUCCUGGGCUCUGUGGUUUAACCCACAGUGCCACCCGUGUCCCAACUGCUUGGUACCAGCCAACAAAUCAUCAACAGGUUGUCAGUGGAUAGAGAAAAGUUUUUCUCCCUCUCUUAUAACGCUAGACCUCAUGAACUUCCAGUGAAGCUGUAGGAUUCAGAACAGGCAAAAGGGGGGGGGGACCCUUAUUCAUGCAGUACAAAAACUGUGGAACUCACUUCCACAAGAGGCAGGGAUGGUCACCAACUUGGAUGGCUUUAGAAGACAAUUGGACAAAUCCAUGGAGGAGAAAGUCAUCAAUAGCUACUAGCCUGGAUGUCUGUGCUCUGCCUCUAUAGUCAGAGGUAGCAAUGCUUCUGAAUACCAGUUGCUGAAAACCACAGGAGCAGAGAGAGCCAAUGUGGUGUAGAGCUUAAGAGUGGUGGACUUGUAAUCUGGUGAACUGGGUUCGUGUCUCCGCUCCUCCACAUGCAGCUGCUGGGUGACCUUGGGCUAGUCAAACUUCUUUGAAGUCUAUCAACCUCACUCACCUCACAGAGUGUUUGUUGUGGGGGAGGAAGGGAAGGAGAAUGUUAGUCGCUUUGAGACUCCUUCGGGUAGUGAUAAAGCGGGAUAUCAAAUCCAAACUCUUCUUCUUCUUCUUCUUCUUCUUCUUCUUCUUCUUCUUCUUCUUCUUCUUCUUCUUCUUCUGCUCAGAUCCUGCUAGAGGGUUUUCCAGAGGCAUCUAGUUGGUCAUUGUGAGAGCAGAAUUCUGGAGCAAGCCACUGGCCUUCUCCUAAUUGAAGACCCAAACAAACUGAGGUAAGAAUGAUGCUAUCCGGGGCUCUAGGCACUAAAUCAUAACAAACACCCACACCAACACAUCUAUCUCCCCACCCUCUCACUUAGGGCCACAAUGACUCCUCUCCUAACUUCUCCUCAGGACAGAACUCUUUAGCACCAAACUUAACUUUACUCACUCCAUGCACCUGACUGUCACCUGGGAGCACUAUCUUUCCAACCCUUGGGCUCUCAGCUAUCACCUGGGAGCUCAUAUUUUACAACUGAUACUUGUGCAUCCAGUGCAGAGGUUUCUCCUCCCCCAGAUGACUUGUGUAUAUUUUUAAAAGUUCCCAGCGUUUAAAUAAAGCUAUUGCUAUUUACAACUGCCUGCAGAAUUUACAAGUGUGCACCCUGAAUCUCUUAAAAGGCUACUUCUGCAGCAGCUGAGCAAGAAAUAUUUUGCCCUUGAUUGAUAUGCAAAUUUCAGCUAAACUAAUUGGAUUUCACAGCUGCCUCCCAGGAUCCCAUGUAUUAUUCAUAGAGUUUGAUUCUGCGCUAUGGAGGAUGUUAGAGCUAAUAAGCUGGAACCCUGGCAAAAUUCAAAACAAAAGAGUCAUCACAAUCUAUAUGGCCACACUUGAGUCAGAUGACUCUUAAUUUCCUACUGGAUCAAUGCAAAAUAACCCAUUUCCAAUGCAUCCGAAAUCACAGAGUCAUAGUAACCUAGACUUGGAAGGGGCUUAGAGGUAAUAUAGUUUAACCCCUGCUCAGUGAGGAAUCUGUAAUGUAGUAUGAAAUGACAGCAUUCUAACAGAUAACGAGGCUCUGCUUAAAGUGCCUUCAUCAAAGGAGAACCCAGAACCUUCUAAGGCAGUUGGUUUCACUGUUGAACUGUUCUUAGUGUUUGGAAGUUUCAUCAAUGUUUCAUCAAAGUCAGCUUUCUUGCUAUUUCCACCUGUUGGCAGUAGUUCUGCCUUCUGGAAAAACAGAGUAGACGCCUGCUCCAUCUUUUGUGUAACAGCCCUUCAGAUACUUGAAGGUAGCUUUCAUGUGUCUACUUUAAUCUUCUCCAAAGGCUAAAUAAUGGUUGUGUCCUGGUUCCUCUGUCCCAAAACAGGCAGACAGAGACUCUUACUUGGAAGUAAGAAAGAGAUCAUUAUUCAGGCAAGGAGCCAUGCAGUAGACAUAGAGCUCAGGAGUCAUGAUUCAGGAGGUUAGGAGCAAAGCAAGGCAUUAAGGAUUGGACGGAAGAAUCAGAUGUCCAUAGGUACUUGUGUUUCACCCACAACCUCAGUUUUUCUUGAGUUAAAAAAUGCACACACGUUUGUGGGCGCACAUAAAAGCUCUGUGCAAACAGGGAACUUAGACAGGGGCAUGUCGACCUAACCUACCUCACAGGGUUAUCGUGAAGAUAAAAUAGGAUGAGCUCCGUUCAGAAAGGAGGCUUUUUUUAAAAUAGAAGAAAAGUAAUUGAUAAAUAUAGUCCAGAUCAAACAUGAUGAAGAAAGAUCCUCAAGGUUGAGUGAAGCACAGAAAUCAUCCAUCAUGGAUACCUGCUGAGCCGCUAGAAGACAAACAGCAUUGCCGUUAAUGGAAAUCGCUCAAAUAAUAGCACACAUAUCAACAUAGCUGGCAUAUUAUAUCAGACCAUAAUACUUUAGAGACAGGGAACUGUAUCUUCAUAUUGUAUACUACGUAAGCUGAGCUCUGAGGAAAGCUGGGUGAUGAAUCCAAGUAAAAAAUGGUCCAAGGAGAGGAUACAUCACUUGUCCUAAAAGCAGGGAUGCAGACAAUUUUUAUCAUCCAAGAGCCUCAGCAUUUUUUUAACAUAGACACACAGACAGACAUAUUUGGUGGUGUUAACAACUGCUGAAUAAUACAUAACAUCACCUCCUUCUGUUUGAUUUCACUAUCUUUUCCUUUUCCUAUUCAAUUUAAGCACAUUCAAGCACAUGCAUUCUCUUAGCAGCUCCUGCUUAUCUUUCAUCUCUGAUUCUUCUCUAUGUUCCCAUCUUUGGUCUCUGCUGUGGGUUCUUUCUUUCUUGUUAAGCCCCCACCCCACCCCCACCCCAAGUAUUUCCCUAGAUAUCACAUCUUUAUUCUUUUCCUCCCCCUUAUCACACCCUGUCUGUUGCUAGUAAAAAGAAAACAAAAAACAUAGUCGCUAAACUUAUUCUCCUUCUUUCUCUUUUAAGUGUCCCAUUUAUUUUGGUGAUAGAUUUUGUCCUCCUCCAGUUUGUAAUUUUAUUAUACAGACCUUGGGAGUCAUAGUGGAUAACUUGAUGAAGGUGUUGACCCAGUGUGUGGCAGCUAUGAAGAAGUCAAAUUCCAUGCUAGGGAUCAUUAGGAAAGGAAUUGAAAAUAAAACCUGCUGCUAUCAUAAUGCUGUUGCACCAGUUUAUGGCGUGACUGUGUUUGGUAUACUGUGUACAGUUUGGGCCUCCAGGCAGAUAUUUGCAGGGUUGGAAAAGGUUCAGAAAAGGGCAACCAAUGAUGAUCAAGGGGAUGGAAUGACUCCCCUCUGAGGAAAGGCUACAGCAUUUGAGACUUUUUUUAGUUUAGAGGGAGGUGGGAAUGAGUAGCAGAUGGCAUGAUAUAAGUUUGCAAAAUUACACAUGGCAUGGAGAAAUUUGGUAGAGAAAAGUUGUUCUCCCCUCACCUAGCACAUCUAAUGGAUCUGAAUGUUGGAAGACUCAGGACAGAUAAAAGAAAGUCAUCCUUCAUAAUUUAAACUAUAGAACUCGCUCCCAGUGGAGGCAGUGAUGGUCAACAACUUGUAUGGCUUUAAAAGAGGACUGGACAAAUUAAUGAAGGACAAGGCUAUCAAUGGCCACGAGCUCUGCCUUCAUGGUCAGAGGUGGUGAUGCUCCUGACUACCAGUUGCUGAUCAAGUCCAGCUUGGGGAUUUCUCCCAGGCCUCUGGUUGGCUAUUGUGAGAACAGGAAGCUGGACUAGAUGAACCAUUGGCCUGAUCCAGAAGGCUCUUCUCAUGUUCUUUUUCCUAGUUUUCUAUCUGUUUGAAAUUAGGAUGCAGCUGCCCUUUGGCCUCCCGUCCCAAAUAAACUGCCCUUUUCAGCAAGCAUCCCACCUGGCAAUGGUGAGAAAGCAUCUCCCCCUCCACUGGCUUGGCCAAUUGCCAUUUGGCGCCACCAUAGCUUGCCUCAACGACAUGCCCAAUAGGUUGCAAUGGGGAGGGGAGGCAGAGGAGCCCCCUCCAUCAGCCUGGCAGCAGCUAACUCCCACUUGGCUCCUCUCUUUCCAGAACAGCUUCUCUCUCAGUGGUCAUUCAGCUGCAUUGCUUCAGAGGUCAAGGCCAAACAGCCCUGCCCAUUGGCCUGUCAGAGAUCCAGUGCUACUUGGCUUCUCCCUUAGGCAGAGGGGAGUGACUGGCCAAAGCCAGAGUUUCAUGGCUGAGUGGAGAUUUGAACUCAGAUCUCCCAUACCCUAGUCCAGCAUUCUAACCACUACACCACACUCCUUUCCUUUCCUCCCUAAUGCAUUUUAUGUCUAUCUUUAUGUUGUAAGCCUGUGGGAAGGACAGCUCUUGUUUCAAACGUAUAUACAGUGCCUCAGUUUGUAAAUGCUUUAUGCUACUCUGGAAUACAGGACCUAAUAUAUCCUGCGUAUCCCUUGCCCAUUGCUCUGGGGGCAUCAUUCCCCAAAUGCUACCUCCUCAUCUGUUCUGCUGUGGAAAAUUACUGGAAGAGAAAUUGUAUGAUCCAUUGCCACUUUCUAUCCCUUGCAUGCCAGAAAAUGCAUUUGAAUUCCCGUCACCGACCCAGCUGUACAAAACAGAAAUGAAAAUUGGGAUUUACUUAUACAUUGAUAGAAAACGAGAAGAAGAUGUAUUAAAACAUAGGAAGGUCCACAGCCUGGCAUACGAGCCUUGGAGUUAAUUUAGUGCCAUUUAAUCACAGUCCCUGGCCUUAAUGGGAUAAAAAUGGAAAGUAUAAACGCAGGACAAUUAAGCGUGGUGCAUAGGCCAUCGCGAAAUCUUAAUCGCGCUUAAUGAUAUAUAUUUGUCAUCCAGACUGAAACAGGUUUAGAAAGUUGGGGUUUUUUUUUAAACAAAGAUGUUUUAUAGCACUGAGCUUUAGUGCCAACCUCUUAACUGCUGCUGUAAUUUCUAAAUUUCCCAUGGGAAAGAAGUAGUGUAUGAAAGAAGCCAUUAGCAUGGAAAAGAAACUCAUUCACAUUUUGCCACAGGUGGAGAUGGCAGUGCUUAUAAUAGGAGACACACUGAUUUCCGUAUGGGGGAGGUGCUUAGCCAAUUACAGGUAUGAAUGUAAGAAUAGCCUGCUGGAUUGGACCAAUUCUAGUUCAGAAUCCUGUCCUCACAGGAGCCAACCAGACACCUGCAGGAAACCUGUAAGCAAGUACUUUUAAACAUUUUGUUGGGGAUAAUUCAGACUAAAAAUUCCCUGGUGUCAAAAGGUCAUUUAUGUAUGCCACUCCUGCGGCCUGUGUUUAGCCCCAAAAUGGAAAAUGAGCAAGGUCCCAACUAAAGAAGAAUGGCAGCUUAAGCUGAUGAAUAUGCGCAGCUUGCAGACUUAACAUAUAGAAUAAGAGAACAAGAAGAACAUACGUUUAGAGAAGAGUGGAAAAUGUUUAUUGAAUAUAUUGGGGGGGGGGAAUUGUGUAUACCUGAAAAUGUUGGCAGCAUUAAGAUAAAUUCAACAGUGUAAAUAAGUUUUGAUGGAUACAAUAAUGGAAUACUGAAUGGUUUAGUUUUUGUAAAAUAUGCAGGGAUUUAUGAUAUGCAAAAAGAACCAUGGAAAGAGAAGAA
RNAcentral lists this long non-coding RNA (54282 nucleotides) under Podarcis lilfordi (Lilford's wall lizard). The stretch from base 36432 to 36500 matches the Rfam family "tRNA". Lineage: Eukaryota; Metazoa; Chordata; Lepidosauria; Squamata; Lacertidae. The record is from RNAcentral.